Molecule: long non-coding RNA, 73687 nt
Filed under: Daucus carota (carrot)
Lineage: Eukaryota; Viridiplantae; Streptophyta; Magnoliopsida; Apiales; Apiaceae
Description: long non-coding RNA (DCAR_LNC005750)
Rfam family: tRNA (bases 69654-69726)
Source: RNAcentral
UCUCUCUCUCCCUCCUCUCUCCCUCUCCCUCUCCCUCCCCCUCCCUCUCUCCCCUUCUCUCCCUCUCUCAUCACUUGAGUUAUGACAUUUGUCCUUAACAUAUUCUCAUAUAAUGUAAACAUGUGGAUCAAAUAUUGUCUUAGUAACCACAAAAUAUCCUUUAUACAAGAAAGAGCUGAUUGUUUGCCACCAAUAAUAUCAUGUGUUGUCUGUCAUCUGUUGUUUCUAUAUGCUCUUUUGUUUUGGACCAAAUAUUUCUUAGAUUUGAUGGUACUCUAUCAGGAUCUUUUAUCAGUAUUCACAUUUGUACCAUUUUGGCUGUUUCAGUAUUUGGGGAUUUCUAUUUUCAAAUUCUUUCCGAUUGUUAAUUUACAGAGUUUUCUUUGACAAGAAUACAUAUAUACUUGGGAUCAUUUAUCGGCCUUUAGGGUUUUGUUUCAUAUUUUGAACAGCUCAUAAGUCAUAAGAUUUGAUCGUGUAAGCCAGCUUUGCUACCAGAUAUAUCUGUAUUUCUUAUGUAUGGUCCUUAUUAACCUGCAGGGUCCAUUGUUUUAAGAAGCGCUUUACUGGGAUUGCUCGUUGAAAUAAAAAGAGGAAAAUUGUAUAUGUAAAAUCUGUAUUUUUGUGCGCACUGCAUGCGCUUGUGAUUGUAAAGCUGGACGAAGGAUUCUAAUAAAACUGUGAUCUGUUUUGUAUAAUUAACGAUACGAAAGUACACGACACAUUAGUGAUGUAUUGGAUUUCUUUUCUGGUGUGAUGUGUGUGUACAUUUAGUCAUUUACUGCUAUAUACUUAGCACCAUCUUCGAUUAUUAGUUGUCUAUCAGAUUGCAAGGGUUAAUGUUGGUGAAGUAUAUUGCACAACAAUGAAUGUAAUUUAUAUAUAUAUAUAUAUAACAAGAAGAUUAAUCGAUUAAUAAAACAAAAUACAAACUCGUAAUUGAUUCAGGCGAGAAUAUUUUGUUUGUAAGAACAAUUAUUCUGCAUUGAAUAAUAGUAUUUUUAAUAUUCUCGCGCUAAAAACUGUUCUCCAAUAAAAGAAGAAUCACUUAACUAAGAAAAGACUAUUGAAGAGUAAAUAAUUGCUUAACUUACAGUCUUACACUGUGAUAAGUUACAUCAGUAUCGCUUCAAAUAGAACAACUCAUAGAUAAUCCAUUUACAAACACGGAAGCAAAACAUUGUUGCAUAUAAAUUACAAUUAAAUACAUAUGUAACGGCUGAUACAAUAUUAAAAUUUAUUAUUACGAUUUAAUAACAUGAACAACAUAAUAUAAACCAGCGGUUUAUUUUAGUUCCAACUGGUCCUCAGAGAAUAAGUUUCGACUCAUUACAGUUCACAAACUCUUGUGUGGUCCAUCAGAGUUGUCAACACUGAUAGCUUUGGUGAUACUUGAAUUUUGACUCUUAUAUAUCUAUUUGAAUAUAUGUUGAGUUAAUAAUUAUUUUAAUUGAUCAUUUAAUAUAAUUUACUCUCUAGAUUUACUUGGUGUUUUCGUGUUUACUCAAUAAUCAGUCUUGUCACUUGCUUUUCCAAAUUUCAAGUUAUGAUAGAUUGAUUGAUUAUCUUUUUAUUUUAUCAAUUUUGUUCAUGCUUGAUUUUUUAUAUAACUAGUCAGUCUUUAAUCUUUUUGUAUCUUCUGUGAUUUUGUAUAAAUGAAAUUGUUAAUCGGGAUUUCCCAAGAACUAGAGUUAGAAAGAUACUCUCUUACACAUAUACCGUUAUUUGAUCCCAGGAAGUCCUUGCUAAUUAAAAUGAUAAUUUAAGCUUUUUUGUUAGUUCUAAAUUAUUGUAUUGUGAUAGUCUAAUUUGAUAUUCUGGAAUUACUUUAAAUUACGAGGAGAAUCAUCAAAUUACAGUUAUUAGUUGUUGCCAGGGUUAAAUAUUCUGAUUUUUCUAAUAUUUUUGUCGUAUUGUAGAUUUGGUUAGGGUUUCGUGUAAGCGAAACUAUAUGGAUAUGCUUCAACAUUUUGUGAAAAAUAUAAGAAUAAAAAAAUCUCUUUACCUCGACCGGAAGAUACACGAAUAAUGGUCAAAUCAUAGAAUAUACUUCGUGUUUUUUGAUGUGGCCACCAAUAAUGAAAAUAAAUAUUUGAGCCCCGACUGGAUCUAGCUACACACAACGCUAGAAACAGAUUCAUUUACAGUGAGAUGAAACCAAACACAUUAUUUAAAAAACGCCGCGAGAACCUUUUGCAUAACAAAACCUCCGACACAACUUAAUUACAAAUUGCCGAUAUUCACAAUUGAAAUUCCUAAAGAUUCUUAAAAUAUUAAUCGAUGCAUACUAAUGCCAAAACCCAGAGAUAGUUAAUUAUUCACGCAUCACCUCCUUAUCCCGACACAAAUACAUAAACUAGUAUAAUAUGUCUCAGCGUCUUGGAGUGUUACUGCGACCUUUGUUUUCUAGUUUAACUGCAGAUUCUAUGUGUAUACAUGUACUACGAAACACUGUUUAUUGUGCUAUUCACCACACAUUGAUAAACACACACAUUUACAUUUACACUUUUAAUAUAUGAGAGGAUCAUUUUGCAGUUGUGCACUUUUAAUAAGGUCAUGUUCAGUAGCUGUAACUUGUAAGCUGGACAGAGAUUGUACUUGAUAUAUAGCUGUAAGCCUAUAACUUGAAGUAAUUACAGUGAUACAGUAGUAUUUGGUUCCCAAAUGGCAAGUUCACACAAAUACUCUUCGUUCGUAGGCCGAAGAUAAUAUUCUUUUGAGUGAUCUGUACGCAAAAGCUACAUCCAUGCUGCCAUGCAAAAGAUACUUAAUCAUCAUUAUCCUCUUAUAAUUGAACUGGUCAAAAUCUUAGGAUACAGUAAUCAACUGCGUUAAGCACAUCGUGACAGUAGAACUGGUGGUUAACAGAAAUCUGAACCUCACACGCAUGCGUUGGUAUUUGGAUCAACCAUUUUGUGGUAUGGAAUGAGAACCUCAUUCCCGCCCGUAGGUAAAUCAUUCCCAUACUCUUCAUUCACGUACCCCUCACUCUGAAAUUUUCACACAAAGCAGCUAGUGAACGUAUACUAGGUUCUUUUGUCCGUUCUGUCUGUUGAAAAGUUUGUUACUAAUUAGGAUUCCAAAAUUUAUUUUAUCGUGUUUUGUUAAGAAGUAAUUAAGACGGGGAGGAUGAUUUUGAAAAGGAAUGAGUUUGUGCAAGCGUUUUAUAACAAGAUUUGAUAAAAAAAAAAUAUUUUUGGACUUGAGAGAAAGGCAUUCAUUUUCAAAAGGGGAUUUGAGUUCUCAAAUGUGUUAGAAAUGGGGUUAUAAAAUAUAAAAUUGGCGAACUAGCAAUAGAACUUACAAAUAAGACUCGAAAAUACUGUCUCAAUAAAAUAAUACAUUAACUUUUUUUUUUAAGGAAAUAUAAUACUACCUCUAUUUUUUAUAUGACGUUUUGACUUUUGGCACACACUUUUAAGUGCUUUGACCGGGUAGUUAAAAAUAUUAUUUUUUAAAAUUUCUUUUCCUGAAUAAUAAUAAAUAAUCAAAAUUUUUAUUUUGAAAAAAAAAAUUCAAAAAAGUAUAUUUUUAACUACCCGGUCAAAACACUUAUGACAAAAAUCAAAGCGUCAUAUAAAAAAAACAGGCAUCUAACUUAUUUUAUCAAAUGUGCUUCAACUACCAUAUAUAAAACAUCUUGAACUUCCUCGUGAACAAGCUGUAGACGGCCCCCAUGUAUAUCAUACUCCCUCCAUCCCAUUUUAAGUGUCCACUUUGCAAAUUUCACACAUCUUAAGAAACAAUUAAUGUAAUGUUUUUAUCAUUAUCUUCACACACCUAUUCACCUUGUUUUUAUAAAUAUUAAUUAUGUAUAGCACCACUCCUACUAUGUAUUUGACCUUUUUUCAUGUUGGAACUAGUAAGUUGUAUUUAAUAUUAUAUUGAAACUAAUAAAAAGUUGCAUGGGUUAAAGAGUAUGACACAUAUAUUGGGAAUUUUUUUUUGGCAAAAUAGACACUUAAAAUGGGAUGGAGGGAGUAUUACUUUUUGUUGGUAUCGUGUAAUGCCACAACUCUUGUGCCUCUGAAUGAAUUUAGUCCAGUGAAGUUAUUGUACACGGCCCAAUGUACCCGGGACAAACUAUUGUCCAUGGCCCAGUAUACGUCAAAUAUUUCAGUACAUCUUUUAUCCGGACUUAUUUUCAAAAAAUUCUAAAAAUUGGUUGAUUAAUUAGUUUUUUUUUUGGACACAGGUUGAUUAAUUAGUUAAUCGAUCGACUAAUUGGUAACUAGACGAAUUCUGAUGUUAUUUAUGAAAAUCGAUUGAUAUAAAUUUCUCAAGUUGAUAAUUAAUUGCUUAAAAAUCAGAUAAAUUAGUCAAAACUCGGUUAGAAUCUCAAAAUUUGUUAAAAUUUUGGGGAAAAAUUGAAGUUAAUUAUAUAUUAAUAAGAUUAUAAAUAAUAUUAAUUAAAUACCGAUUAAUUGAACGAUUAAUGAUCUGAUUAAUCAUUUCAAUUAAUCAUGGAUUUUUUGAUUAUUCGCUGAUCAUUAUCUGAGCUGAUUCGUUUUUUGCUAAGAAACUCUAAUCAACUAGCUUCUUAACCCGUGCAAAGCACGGGCUGUUUUAAAUUAUUUUUUUGAUAUAGGUUCAUCUCUUUUAAAUUGAGAGAUAAUAAUAAUAAUUAAGCCUGAAAUACGACUAACCGCUCUAACCGUUCUCUUAUUCUUCUCUCCCAAUCUUCAAGAUUUCGUUCAUCUUUUCUUUCGACUUUGUGCGGCACAUGUAAUCACAUGUUUUGGAAAUUUGUGGAGUUUAGUCGCAUUCACUAUGCCAUAUACAUUGCACACUUUUUUCUCGGUGAAUGAGUCACUUGUUUUGAAUCUUGCAAAUUGAUGUUGUUUUAUGAGGGAGUUUCGAAUGUUUAAACAAUUCCUAAUUGAUUUGCUCUCCCGCUCGAGGGCGCUUUCACGGCAUUGUCAUUUGAGAAUUGUUGUGGUGUGUCUGCUAUCAAAUGGUUACGGUGUAGCGGUUGUCAAAGCGACGCAAUCGCCAAGGUUGUCUGAGGGAGUUUCAAUGAAGUCAUUCCGGUGGAAUGCAGUGCGAUCAAGGUGGAAUGCAGUUCUUCAUCGGUGUUAAUGUGCAAAUCAUUGUAAGAUUUCAAGAUUUUGGGUUCCAAUUUGGUUGGCACCCGAUCUCUUCUCCCAAGCUUUCAACUUUGCAAUCCGUGUAAGUAAUGGUUCUUGAUUUCUCCGUUUGUUUUCUUCAAUGGACUUCACCACUUAAAUCGAGAAAUUUUUAAGUAAGUCCCAUGUGAAGAAGGCUAUGACCUAAGGUAUUAUAGUUAUAUUGUAUCACACACAAUUUUAUUUAUUAUGCACUAAGCCGGGGUCUCACGAAAACAACCUCUCUACUUUAAGGUAGAGGCAUGGUGUGCGUAUAUUUUACCCUCUUCAGACCCUGCUCUAAGCGGGAUAUACUGAGCACAUUUGGUUUGGUUUGGUUCUUUUAAAUUGAGAUUAUUUAUAUUAUAAAAGUAAUUCAUAUUGUAUAUUUAUUUAUAUUUUAAGUCAUAUUAUAUUGAUAUCCAUAUGUACACAUAUUCUCACUAUGAUAUUUAUUAAUAUAUAAAUACAAAAAAAUAUACACAGUUUAAAAUUUUAUUAAAUAAUUAAAUUACCACCCACCUAAAAUUAUUGAAAAUUUGAUAAAAGCAAUGAGAUUUUUGCUGAAUCAGAGCCCUUGUCAUAUAGUUAUAUAUUAUAUUUAUACUUAUUCUAAUAUAUAUAUAUAUAUAAUUUUUUUAAUCAUAAUAAUUAAAUAUUCUAAAAACCGGUUGGUUGACUAAUUAAUCGAUAAUCAGAAGGAUUUUUAAUCCGAUUUAGUAAUAUUCGGUUAAAUCGAUGAUUAUUUGGUCAAAACUUGAUCAAUUCGAUGAAAAUCAGGUUGAAUAUUAAAUUUUACAAAAUUUGUGGGGUAAAUUUAAAAAUUUAAAAAUAAUUAUAUAUAAUAUAUAUAAUAUUAAAUUAUUUUCAAAUAAUGAUCAUGUUAAUAUUUAUACUGAGUAGGGGUAGAUUAGUCUCUUUGAAUUAAAUUACUCAUUAUUGUUGUGUUAGAUAUAUAAUAGAAUUUGACAAAAUUCGGUUAAAAUCGAUGGCUAAUUGACAAAAAUUGGAUUAAUUGGUUGAAAAUCAGGCCGAAUAUUAGAAUUUACAAAAUUAUUUAUUUAUUAUUAAAACAUAAAUAUAAAUAUAUAAUACAUAUAUAUAUUGGAGUUUUAAAUAUGAAGUAAUUAUUAUUAAAACAUAAAUACAAAUAUAUAAUACAUACGCCCUCCGUCCCACCAGGACUGUUUGCACGCAUUUUGAGGCUCUUAUAAAGUAUAGUUCAAUAAUGUUUUUUUUUGAAUAAAAGUUUAAACGUCAAAACUUUUUUCAGGAUUUUUAAAAAAUAUAUAUAUAUGAUGUAAGUAUACUUUAUAAGAGUCUUAAAAUGCGUGCCAAAAAGUAACGUAAAGAACCUGUUGGGACGGAGGGAGUAUAUAUAUUGGAGUUUUAAAUAUGAAGUAAUUUAAUGUAUAUUAAUGGUUAGACAUUAAUGUCUAAUAAAUACAUUAGUGUUAAAAGUCAAUAAUGACAUUUAUAUAAAAAAAAUAUGUAUUUUGAGCGAGGGGUAGUAUAGUCACUUUGAAUAAAAUUACUCAAGGUUGUUGUAUUAUAUAUAUAAUAGAUUUUGUGUUCUCAAUUCCCUGAAAUUUAACUAUACAUGUUCUUUAUUCAUAAGUCCUAUAUCUGUUACACAUAUUUUAUUAUGUUUUAAUUAUAUUAUAAAAAUUAAUAAUUUUAAUCUAUUUUAUCAUUAAUUUCGAGUACAUAUACUUUUAUUUUAGAAAAAAAAUUGAAGCCUCACGCUUCGAAGGGAGUAUCAUUAGUAUUAUAACAAUCUUCGGAGUCAAUUGUCAUAUUAUACUUCUGACCAGAAAAAAAUAUUGUCAUAUUAUAAUUUAUACUCCCUCCGUCCCACCCAAUUGUUUACAUUGGGUUUGGGCACGGAGGUUAAAAAAAUCUAUAAACUAGUGAAAAAGUGGAAGAAAAGUUGGUUAAGUAGUGGGAUCCAUUAAUUUUUAAUAUAUAAAAGAAAGAUAGUGGAGUAAAAGUAGUGUGAAAAAGAAGAAAAAGUGAUAAAGUGGUGGAACCCGUUAACUAUUUUGGGAAAUUUUUGUAGUGUAAAGAAUUAGGUGAGACGUCCAAAAAUGGAAACUGUAAAAAAUCUGGUGGGAGUAAUAAAGGAUUGGAUAGCUCAGUAAUAAAGGAUUGGAUAGCUCAGUGGUGAGUUUAUCUUUUAUUGUCAAAUACUAAUUUGUAAAGUAUAUAAGCCUGUAUUGUAAAAAUAAAAAGGAUGGUACUGAUAUCUCCGUUAAUAGCGGUAUCUUUUGUUAUUACAUGUGAAAUUCUAUUUACAUUAGUGAUCAAACUCUAUUAGGGUGAAAACAUACAUUUUAUUUCAAAUUAUGGAUUUCAAAUAAUAAAAUUUGAGUUGAGAUUUCAAAUUCUCAAAAUUAUAGUAUACUUGAAUGGGUGAAUUUCAAAUAAAAUCUAAAUCCAAGUUUCUAAACAAAUUAUUUGAUCAAAUAUAAAAUUUUAUAUGAAAUUCAGAUUCCCAAACUAGCUAUAUCACAGUAUUAUCAUCGUCAUCGAUAGUUUUUUAACCCGUUUUAAAAUAUAUAACCCUGUGUAGCUUCACACGAGCACACUUAUUUAAGUCCAUUCUUCUUUAAGAGAAAUGCUAGGUCCACAGAAUUAGAUACAGAAUUGUGUACAGAAUGAGCUGGCGCGCCUGACGUGCAUCUGAUGUGUAAAGUCUGUCUGCCACUAACCUAAUCUACGCUGUUAUUUCAUUUUUAUUUCUUUUGUUCUUUGUUUCUCAUUUAACUUCACUUUUUCUAUAUUACAAAAUUUAUUUAAUUAAUUUUUCCUCUUAUGUUUUAUUACUUUUUUAUUGUUAAAUAUUUAAUCUCACUCAUAUUAUUUUUUAAGAUCCAUUCAAUAUCUACUCUCUCAUUUUAUUUGUCAUCAAUUCUUUCCUAAAACUUAUAUUUUCCUUUUAAUUUGUAUUAAAAAUUUAACAAAUUCAAAUUAUUUUAUUUAAUUAGUUUAUGUUAAAAUUAAUAUGCAAAAAACCACUUGAAUUUACAAAAAUGAAGAUUCUAGCAUAGAAUGAAUUAUACUUGUAUUUAAAAAUAAUUUUAAACUUUCCUAUCAAAUAAUGUUGAAGUACUUUUAUGUUAAACAUGUGUUUUAAAAUUAUGCACGUUAAUUUUAUUUUUUAUGAUUUUUUUAAAAUGUGUUUGUCAUUAUAUAUGUUUAAGAUUGACUAACUAAAUGACAUAAAAUCCAAUUUGAAUAAUAAUAUGCUUUACAUAAAUUCAUAAUUAAGAAAAAUAAUAAAAUUCUUGAUUUAAGUAGCGAAACAAAAAUAUCAAGCAAUUUUUGCUACAUGAGAGAACUCAAAUUUCAACAUUUUUUAAUCCAUCCUCUUAUCUCUUCCCUCCUGGAAAAAUGAUUGAAGAAGACUCAUAUUUGUUCCUCCCAUUUGUUGUGGAUUCAUAUUUCUGAAAUUAUGAUCAUUCCCAAAAACACUUCCCUGCAUAUAAAAAAUGUAUAUUAAUAUAUACAUAACUUAAUAAAAGGGAUUAAUUAAUUUAUUAUUUUAUCUAACCUGUAAUCAAAUGGAGUAUAAAAUGGUAGGAAAUGUCCAUGAACAUGAGAAAGUGAGGAAUAAGGCCAUUGACAAAUUAUUUUGAAAAGUAUUCUCCCCACAAAUAUUUGCAUUUUCCUACAUACAUAAUUUUAUAUUUAUUAUUAGUCAGGAAUAUAAUAAAGAAUGGCUAAUACUAAAUAUUUCAUAUACUUACAUUGUGUGAAGACAGAGAACAUGUUUCAGAAUUUGAAUUUGCAUAUGUGGUCUUUACACUAAUAUCCUGUAUUUGAUCAAAACACAUGAUUAAAUUCUAAAUAGUUAAAAAAUAAAUUAGAAAAGUAUAUAAAAUCAUACCACUUGAUUACAGAUAUUUCCUUGAAACUCUGUUUGUAAACCUGGCUGUGAACUUGUCCUGGCUAAAUUUUGCAGAUAAUCAUCAGCAACAUCUGGACUUGAUUUCAAACUUUUAUCCUAAAUUAACAAUUUAUGUAAGUUCCAUGCACACAAAUUAAAAUAAAUUAGAAAAGUAUAUAAAAUCAUACCACUUGAUUACAGAUAUUUCCUUGAAACUCUGUUUGUAAACCUGGCUGUGAACUUGUCCUGGCUAAAUUUUGCACAUAAUCAUCAGCAACAUUUGGACUUGAUUUCAAACUUUUAUCCUAAAUUAACAAUUUAUGUAAGUUCCAUGCACACAAAUUAAUAUAACAAAUAAACAUAAAAUUAUAAUAUUAAAAUCACAAACCUGUAUUAUUUUAUUUUCAGUUUUCCUCCUGCUUCCUUUCUUUUUCACAACAACUUUUUCAACUGCAGACAUUUUCCUCUUAGAUGGUGGACGUCCUUUACCUCUCACAACUACUGGAUCUGUGAUUUUUACUUGCUCAGUAUUAACAGCUCCAGACACAUUUUUCAUCUGAUUAUCUUGUGAACUGUCAAUAACAUUAACACUGGUAUCACCCUGCAAUGUAUUCUUCAGACUAUCUAUCCAUUCCAUCACCUUUAGACUUUUUGAAUCAUCAUCCAUUGCCAAGUCUGCAACCUCAUAGAAGGCAUUACACAUCUUUUCAAAUCUCUGUGUUUCAAUCUUAACUGCCAUAGCAUUGUAAUUAAUCUUCACACGAGUGUGACAUUUUUUUAUAUCUUUUCUCCAUCUGCGUAAGAUGUACUUGGAAGGAAUGGUGUAAAUCCUUCUAUGAAUGAGCACCGAAAUUGCAUGUCUACAUAAUAUUCCUUUAAACUCAAACAACUUACAAUUACACAUCACUUCUUGAUCAUUUUCAUUCAAGGCAACCUUAAAAGAUAAAUGUCUUCGGCUUUCUCCAAACAUACAAUCUUCAACAACUUUAUACUUCGACUCCUCACUUUGAAUCGCUGAAACUUCACAAUAAAGCUUUCCCUUUAGCUCUUGUUGAAAUUCUUUAAAUUUCACAUUAGUGUAGAUGGACUGAACUUGUUUCUCCAUUUCAUAAUCUGUUAUGCACGGAUAAGUAGAGUUAUAAGAAUUAAAAUCUUCUUGAUUCUCCUUGGCCACUUUAUUUGCAAGUGCAUUAUCAUAUUGUUCCACAAACUGCUUCAAUGUUGUUUUUGAGUUGACAUAACCAUCAAAAAAUGAGUUCAUACUUUCACUUCGCUGUGUGGUGGACAUACCAGCCCAAAAUACAUCCUUCACAUAAAUAGGUACCCAACGACUUCUCUCAUCAUAUAACCCAUUUAACCAUUCAUUACUUUGAAGUUGAAAAUUUUCAAUCAUUUUAUUCCAACUUUCUUCAAACUCAUCUCUACUCAAAGAGUUGUAUACUGCAUUUUUCAGGACAACCUUUAUUGAGUCAUACUCAUCAAAACCUUUCAACUUUUCAGGCAAUUUUUUCAUUAUAUGCCACAAACACCAUCUAUGCCGAGCUUCCGGAAAAACUUCUUGAAUUGCAUUUUUCAUAGCUUUAUCUUGAUCAGUGAUUAUUGCUUUUGGAGGACGCCCGACAUACACGCAAGCCAUGAUUUGAACAACCAAAUAAAAUUAUUUAUGUCCUCUUUUGAAAUUAAUCCACAACCAAGCAAAAUUGAUUGUCCAUGGUGAUUUACCCCAAUAAACGGCGCAAAAGGCAUGUCAUACUUAUUUGUUAAGUAUGUCGUGUCAAAAGUAAUAACAUCACCAAAUUCUUCAUAUGAAGCCCUAAUUCUUGCAUCAGCCCAAAAUACAUUUUUCAACUGACCUGUUUCAUCCAAAUCCAUUGUAUAGAAAAAAUUUGAAUUAUCAGCUUGCAUUCUGAGAAAAUACUCAUUGAUGGCAUUAGCAUCCCCUUCUCCCAAUCGCAAGCGCCUCACUUUGUCAAGAAAAUUUCUACAAUCUUUUUCCAUAAAAGGUACAUUUUCAGGCCCACCAGCUUCAACAAUUAUAGACCGAUAACUCUUAUUUGGUCUUAUGCCUGCAAUAUCAUUCAACUCAAGUUUUUUAUUAAUAUAUGGAUUUAAUGCUCUAUUGCAGCGAUAGAAUCGAGAUUUUUCCGGGCUCAGGGUGUGAUUAUGACUAAGUUCAAGAGAAUUUAUAAUGCAACUUCCAUCUGCUCCAAUUAUAAUAUUUAUUCUUGCCUUGCAAUUUAUUCCAGUAGAAGGUUUCAAGCGAAACUCAUUUUUUAAUUUUGAAGCUCUCUGACCUUCUCUACAACAGGACAAAGUUUUAUAAAUUUUGUCUCCUUCACCCUUAGUUGAUGUUCUUUGAAACACAGCAAACCCUUCUUGUUUAGCAUAACUCUCAUAAUAGCAAAGAAGUUGUUCAUAUGACUCAAAAAUCAUGCCAACCUUAGGUUCUCCUACUUUAUCUACUACUGUUUGAUUUUCCAUAUUCUACACCAAAAUACAUAAAAAAAACAAUAAUAUAUAUCACACACUAUUUUCAAUAUAUGAAAUAAAUAUAUACACACAAAUGAAAUUUAAAAAAACUUUUGACAGUACAUACCUGAUGUAUGUUGCAGAUAAGAUAUAUAUGUUCUAGUUUUUGGUUGAUCUUGUGGCUCCAAGGUGUUGUGAAUGCUUGAUCUUGCGCCUUCAGAUUGAAAGUAUUUUUAUCAGAUUGUGGAAGAUGAAAGAGUUGAGUUACCAGGGAGAUGAACACGAUGACCCUGUAUCUGUAUCUGGAGAACUUAAUCGACACAUGACCAGCUUAUUAUUAGUUUAGUUUUAAAACAUGCAUUACUUUAAAAAUAUUAUUAUUAUUAACCUAUUAUUAUUUUUAUUACUAUUACUGUUACAAUUAUUAUUAUUAUUAUUAUUAUUAUUAUUAUUAUUAUUAUUAUUAUUAUUAUUAUUAUUAUUUGAUAGGAAAGUUUAAAAUUAUUUUUAAAUACAAGUAUAAUUCAUUCUAUGCUAGAAUCUUCAUUUUUGUAAAUUCAAGUGGUUUUUUGCAUAUUAAUUUUAACAUAAACUAAUUAAAAUAAAAUAAUUUGAAUUUGUUAAAUUUUUAAUACAAAUAAAAGUAAAAUAUAAGUUUUAGGAAAGAAUUGAUGACAAAUUAAAUGAGAGAGUAGAUAUUGAAUGGAUCUUAAAAAAUAAUAUGAGUGUGAUUAAAUAUUUAACAAUAAAAAAGUAAUAAAACAUAAGAGGAAAAAUUAAUUAAAUAAAUUUUGUAAUAUAGAAAAAGUGAAGUUAAAUGAGAAACAAAGAACAAAAGAAACAAAAAUGAAAUAAGAGCGUAGAUGCACGUCAGGCGCGCCAGCUCAUUCUGUACACAAUUCUGUAUCUAAUUCUACGGACCUAGCAUUUCUCCUUCUUUAAUUAUGACAACAGGAGAUACAUGGACCUAUUUCAUUUGAAGUUGUUAGCGAAGUCAAAUUCUUGGUAUGGCCCAUUGGAAAAUAGAUCAUACAUUCAGAAUACUUGGGCGCAUGUUGACGCUUAGAGCAGGCCCAUGCAAAUCAGCCUAAAGCAUAGGUGCAUACAUAUGUUAUAUGCACGGGCUCAUUGUUAAAAGAGUAAAUAACAAAGUGGUAUAUCUAUUAUCUAGGUUUACAAAUUUUACAAGAUAGAUGGUUGAAUUUUAAAAAUUAUAUAAUGAUGGUCGGAGUUUAUUUUCACUUUUUAAUAAGGUGGCGUACAUGAAUUUCCGUUAAUUAACCUCUGUUAACUCCAAAAAAUAAAAGAAUAAACGAUAAAGUGGUGGAAAUCCGACCAACAUUUUGUGAAAUUUGAAAAACUACGGCCACCAUUUUGUCGUUUAUUUUUUUAUUUUUUGUAAUUAACGGAGGUUCACGCCCGCCACCUUAUUAAAACGCGGAAGUAAACUCCAGUCAUUACUAUGUAGUUUUUAAAAUUCAGUCAUCAUCUUGUAAAAUUUAGAAAACUACGGCCACCAUUUUGUCAUUUACUCUUAUUAAAAUUAUUAAAAAUAUAGACACUUUUUAUUAUAAGGUAAAGAUCCCGGUAGGUUUAGAACUCUGAGUUGAAAAACUGGAUUAGACUAAGCUAUUUAUAUAAUCUAUCAUAAAUCAUAAUUCAGGUUAUUGCAAGCACCAAAUUGAUGAUUAGCAGGCCAAUAAGAUUACAAGAUUUAAUGUGUUUUUUUAAUUCUUUUCACGCCAUAUACAUAAAAUGUAGAAUAUGCAGAGCUCAACAAAGUCUAUGUGCCUCGUGAUCAUCAAUAGUUUGAUGAUUAGGGUAAUCCAUGUAAUUAUGCUAGGUGAUUUAUACUAUUACAACAAAUUUUGUACAAAAUCAAUGGUUGAGAAAGAAAUAAACAUCUUUUCUAAUCACCCUCGAUUUAAUAUGUAAAUUUAUUUUAUUCGCAUUUUAUUCCGUUUCAUCCAAACAAACACAAUUUAAGAAUCAUGUACAAGCCAAAUAAAUAUAAAAAAUACCGAUAAAGAAAAUGUAAUAAAAAAUUGUAGAAAACAGAGCCAUCGUGCAAGGACGAUACGUGCGAAGAGCCAUGAAAUAUGAUUUUAGAAUAAAUUUAAGGAAUUUCUUUUUGUAACAGAAACAAAAGAAAAGAGAUACGCAUGCAGCAAGUUUUCAUUUUUAAUCAAUGAUUACAAAGUAAUAAAGUAUAAGAAAAAUUAAUGAGCCCCAAAUCUUUCCCUCCCACAUUCUUUGAUUUUGGUCGCUUUAGACAUCCAAAGGUUACGCCACUGGAUGAUAUUUAUGUACUUCUUAACUAAUCCAAAACCUAAUAAAAAAAAAAAAAAGGAACUAAUUAAUUGGAUUAGUGUAACAUGGUCACAUGUAAAUUGGUGUGCCGAUUAGACCUACAUAAUCAAAACUGAUGGUUUGGCCAAAUACGACAACAGCCGAAAACUUGACUAUAAGUGUGAUUAAUUAAAAGAUUAUUAAGAUUACUAAACUGACAAACUUUAUCAAAGUAGCUAGAUACCCAUCUUCAUCAAGACUACAUGUGAUUAGGGAGCUAGGAUUGGGCAGUUUUGCUUAUUUUUAGAUUAUUAGGCUCUUAAUUAGACAGGUUUAGUUAAUUAGGACCACUGAACCUGUAUGUAUGCACUCUUACUAACGGUUAAAAUAAUCUAACGGGAAAAAAAGUUUAAUAGACUUGUAAAUAAGAUUAUGCUACUCCCUCCGUCUCUUAAUACUUUUCCUGUUUGCUUUUGACACGUUUGCCAACGCACACUUUUAAUCGUUAAUAUCUUUAAUUUUGUAUUAGUAAUAAAUAUAAAAAUUUCACUGUAUUAAAGUACUCAUAAAUACGAAUUCAACAAGAUCACUCAUGACUAUAUUUGGUUUUAUAGAUUAAACGUAAGUUAGUAAUUUGUCUCAUGUCAUGAACAGUCCCGACAUUUCAAAUGAGAAAAGCAUUUAGGCACGGAGGGAGUAAAGUUUAUGCCCCCCAAUUGAUGAACCAUGCUUACUUUAUGGGAGCUGCUCCUCAUCUUUGUGAUUAGUUUAACGUGUGUUUUGUAUGCAGAGCUUGUCAUUGAUGAUUUGUUAAUCUUUCUUGUCUUUUUUCUCGUGGAAUUAAUUAUGGAUUAUUAAGCUGACAAGAGGAUGAGAACUUUGACCAUAUUUCGGGUGUGUGUGGUUUGGUACUCCAGAAGAUUGAUCAUGUGUUAUCAGUAAACUAAGAAGUUUUGUGUCAUUUUGUAUCUUGAGAUUUCUAUUGCGGAUAAAAAUGAGAACCGAUAAUUUAAUAAAUUAAAUUUUGUUGUUUUCCGAUUAAUUGGGUCAGACUUCUAUGAGUUUUUAUUUGAGCAGAACCUCGGUCGGUGAUCAUCUAUGAAGACGUUUGGAUCAGUGAUCAGAGUAAGAAUCUUGAAUGACACAAACAAUUUAUGUUACCCGGAGUCGACUAAAAAUGUCCAACAUGAAUACGUCUCAGAUUCGGCAAUAAUUUAAAAAUUGUACAUAUUUUUUUGCUUAGAAUAAGUGUUAAAAUAUUUAUAUCAUAUUCGAGUGUCGAGUGUCCGAUACAGAAAUUCAAGAUAAAAUAAAGAGUCCAGGUAACAUAACAUAGAUGAGAACUUGUUAAUGAGAACGGAAAUGAUAUGAAAAUAAAUGAUUUAUCCAUCUGUCGGUAAUGUGGUUCCCAUUUGAAGCAACUAACUUACUUAUCCAAACACCAACAAUGUGAUAAGAUUACAAUUAUGUUAACUGAACCCAUUAACUAUUACAAUUAUGUUAACUGAACCCAUUAACUAUGAAGCAAACGUUCCAAAAUUUGUUAUGAAUCAAUAACAUGACGAAAAUUUGAUCAUGCAUGUGAGAUGGUGUAACUGUAGGAUACACCAAAGAUCUGACAUUAGUUAAAUACAUCAAGAUUUUGUAUAACAGUAUCUGAGAUCAUGUAUAAAUGAAUCUAAACGAUACAUUUAACAUGGACAAAUUAAAUUGAAGCAAGCAAAUCAGGCCUUCUAAAUCAAGAUCAACCUAGAAACCAGAGAAGACAUAUUGCUUUGGCUGCUGCUAAAACCUAAAAUGAUCCCAGUUAAUAAUAUUUAUAGCUGCCUAGUCAAUUCUGAGAUGCUUGCUUGAUAAUAAAACCAAGAUAAAAAGUUUUAAACUCUCUAACUCAUGGCUGUGAUGCUGCAUACGUUAUAUUGGUAGCUUAGCCGAAUCGAAAAAACCGAAUCAACGAAAUUAAUGAACAUGGUUGCAGUAAAAGAGGAAACAGGAUCUUGUAUCUGCAAUCAUUAACCUAUAUAAAAUUCAAUUCAGAAUCAGCAAAAAGCCUUGAACCAAGAAGAUACAGAGUUGCAGCAUGUAUAUCCAGCCUUCUUGGACUAGUUUUCGCUUCGAAACAUCGAUAUGUGGCAUGAAGUGCUGCUCAAUUCAAACACAAGUCUGGGGGUUUGCAUUUUCUGUCUGAUGUGUUAAGUCCUUUUUUUUUUUCAGUCUUUCUUCAAGUGUUUGCAAUGAAACAGGGCUUCCUGCUGAUUGAGUGAUGCACAAAUGUGUAUCUUAAGGCUCAUGAUAAAGAGCUCCACAUGGGGCCAUGUUGAUCUUGAUUAUAUUCUCAUCCAGUUUGCAGAUAAUCAGUCAAAUUAUGGAGCAGUCAGAGUUAUAUAUGCUACUUCUUUUGAAGGUGGCCACAUGACUGGUGAUCUAGUGGAUUUGUUAUAAAUUGAUUACUGAGAUAAUCAAGAUUAAGGAUGGUAUCUUCUUUGGUUGCGAGAUAUUUUUCACUUUGGUAGAAGGAUGGGAAUGUGGUAGGGCCGUGAUAAGCAUAUUGUUACUUUAAAUUCAAAAGAGCGAUUUCCAUGUAACAAUGAGUUGUCCCACAUCAAUUGUGUGAGGGGCAGAAAAUUAGAAUAGCAACUUCAAUAAUACGAAUCCUUUAGGGGUGUCCAAAAACAAAGUCGUAUGGACUAGGUCCAAAGCAGAUAUUGUGGAGUUAUGGCUUACUUAGUUAGUCCAACAAGUAAUAUCAGUAUCUGUCUCUUUCUAGAGACAUCUUUAAAUGGUAUAUCUGUCUCUUUCUAGACUCAUCUUGAGAUGAGAUUAUCAUGGAGACAUGGAUUGUUCCAAACUGGCUCUGUAAUCUAGUUAUAAUACGAGACAACUCCUAAAAUUACGUCGUAACAAUCAAUCCAUUACUCGGACUCGGUUUUUACUAAUGUACAUCAGUUACACAUAUUACGUGUUGCACAUACGUAUUGUCGCUGAGGAGACAUGGAAAACUACUGAACAUAGUUAAGCUGAGCAAGUGUGUUGGAGUAAUUUGAAGCUGCAAACUGUAAACAUUGCAACUUUUGUGCAAUCUGUUCCCCACCUAAAAAUAUAGCAUGCUGAUGCUGAUAAAUAAGCGGCUCAAUAAUUGAAGCACCCCGAAAGAAAUCAAAAGAUUCAGUACAAAGUUAGUCCGUGAAAUAUGGAUGUCAACCAGCUAGCUAGGUCUCCUUUUGUGUAGCAUAUGCCCUCUUUUCUGAUUAUAUGUAGAAACAAAUAACUGCCCCUUAACCUAUCUGCCUCGGAAUAUCAUUUAAAAUUUUGUAGCUUGCAACAAAAAUUAUAGGACUGUUUACUGUUUAGCUCACAUUAAAAGAAGUCAUUUAUUAUUUAAAAUAAAUAAAUGAUUAUAAGUGAGUAAUUGUGCCCGUUUGGGUAACCAAACUUCUGACUUCUUUUCGGAAGAAGCUGACUUCUAAUUUUCUUGGCUUGUUUGUGUAAAAAGCCAGAAACACUUAUAAAAAGCUACGAAUGAUAGCUUGUGUCUCAGGACUUCUGCUUAUUUCAAAACAGUUUAAUCACUUAUAAGUCUUAAUCUGCUUCUCACUUCUAGUACACUUCUUUACUUUAAGCAAUAAGCACUUUUUUAAGUUUAUCCAAACGGCUCCGUUGAUUUGGAUUUUUAAAUUAUUAAAAAUAUUGAAUAUCAUGAUUUACAAGUUAUUUAGGUUAGGUUUUGCUGUUUGAAGAAACUGUUAACAUAAAAAUUUAUAUUAAUAUGAAAGUUAGGAUCUCCAAAAUUUAUAUUAAAAAUGUGACAUGCAUCAACAAAUUUUAGCAAUAAUCUGAAUAUUGGAGCUCGUCAAACCUUUUCUUGCAUGUUAUACAAAGAAAAUCGAAAUGAUUUUAGUAAGCGGGGAUGUCUCUUUUAUCACAACAAUACAGAAAAAACCAAAAAGGAAAAAGUUAUCACAUGUCAAGUCAAAGCAUGAAAUGCAGUAAAAUAAAACAAACCAAAAAAUAAAGCACCAAGGUAUUACUUGAGAUUAGUGUGGAAUAAUCAGAGAUAAUAUGAUUCCCUUUUUAAUUAGGAGAAGUUAAUCUUUUUCAUUUUAUAAUUAAUAUCUGUGGGUGAUACAUGUAUGUAACACUGUGCAAGUUGAUUGUGUUUGACCAGAAUGACUGGUGAAGACUUUUGGUCUGAGGGCAAGGUGACACAGUACAUGCGUUGCGCCGACCGACACGUGUAAUACAAUGGGCCAAUGGCCCUUGUCCAUAUUAAUAUAGGUUGGGUUCACCUGCCCUAGGCUUUCUAGAACGGCUCAAUAGUUAGGAAUACAAUUAUUUUUGGAGUUCGUAGUUAUUUUCUAAAAGGAUUCUUACUGUAUUUUGAAUGAUCCGUAAGUCGUAUCGAUUCUGGUAUCACGGUGAAUAUUGUAAAAACUCAUCUUUCACAAUAAAAAUUUGUACAUAUUUUAUGAGUCCUUGUUGCUCAGAUAUCAAUUGAUAUAAUUGAAAGUUCUGAAUGUGGGCGACAGAUGAUGUUUAUGUGAAAAUCAAUUGUGAUGCUACUAGUUUCAUAGUUUCAUAGAUGAUGUAGAUUGGAUUGCUGGACAUGUCAUUGUAUUACUUUUUGGAUCAAAGAAUUUGAAUAUUCUAUGUGUGUUAAGCGAUCUGAAAACAAAACGGCUACUUAUUUGUUUAGCUCGUUCUUUGUUUUACAAUAGAUUGUAGUUGACAGUUCGGGGAUUUGUCCUCACUGGAUGCUGAUGAGUAAUUUCCGUUAAUAAAAUCAUUUGUUUGUAAAAAAAAAAGAAUUAUUAUAUAUAUUUUAACUAAUAUGAGUUGCUCAAAAUUAGUCUUAACAAAGAAAUCAUCAAUAUACUUAUAUAAAGGAGAAGCGAGGGGCGUAUAGGUGGCGCCUCUCUGAGAGCUCCGUUAUAUUUUUUCAAUUUUCUAGAAUUUUUGGAUGAAAAAAUAUCAAAAAUAAAAACUGUCUUUUUUAGUUUCGGAUAUACUGGAAGAAAGUUUCAGAACUAUCUUUUUCAAAAUAUCAAAAUCAAAUCAGAAUUUGAAACUAUCAUCAUAUUUUUGAAAAAUGUGUAUAUCAAAAAUAGAAAAUAUUUUUGAUAAGUAAUCUCUUCUCAAAUCAACUUCUAUAAUUGUAUCAAAAUUAAAUCAGAAUUUGAAACUAUCAUCAUAUUUUUGGAAAAGGUGUAUAUCAAAAACAGUAAAUAUUUUUGAUAAGCGGUCUCUUCUCAAAUCAACCCCCUAUAAAUUGAGGUCAGACAUCAUAAAAUUUAAUGCACACAAUUUUUUUUAAGCUUAUUUGUCUUCUCCAACUAAUAUAAUAAUGAGUUACACUAUGCUAGAUAUUUGUGCUAAAUGUAUUGAAUGGUGAUAGAGAUGAUUGGCUGAUAAGAGCAAGAGUUCGUCGGAUGUGGGAAUAAUACAGUCUUGACAUGAUAUUGUUGGAUGAAAAGUUCAAUAAAUUAAUUGUUAGGCAUACAUGUUUGUUCGUUAUUUUUUUAUAAUGUUUGUUUUGUUCAUCGGACAUGUUUGUUGUUAAUUUUUAUAUGAUUUACUUUGUAUACAGGAAAAGAUUAUUCAUGCAACACUUCCACAAUAUCUGUUUGCUCGGUUCAAGCAUCUUUUAAGUGAAAGUUGUUUAUAAAGUAUCAAAAAAAAUAAAGAUUUUUGCAACUCGCAAGCAAGGUCAGUUAUAGAUUGCGAUCGCAUGGAUUUAAAUUGAUGUUUUUGCGGACAACCAAUCCAAAAAAAAGAAGGAGGGAAUCACUAAUAAACCUGUGAAUAGAUUGGACUUCAUACAUCCCGAGAUGAUUAAUGUUCGUACAACUAGAACAUAAUGUCUAGGAUGGUUUCAAAGUUGUAUCUCAAUAUUUUUUAGACUUUUACGCACCAAUGUUAAACACAUCUAAAAUUAAAAUUUGUCGUGCUUUGAAUCAUUUGCAUCCAGAUUUUUAUUUUCAUUUUUCCACUCAUGAAUUAUAGUCCAAUUUUACAAUUUUAUAUAUUAAUAUUGGUAUUGUAUCGAGAUGUUUAUAAUAUAAAUUUAUUUUUAUUCUAUAAAUAUUAAUUUUAAAUCAUUAAUAUAAUUUUUAUAAGUUGCCUCAAAUUUAUUUUAUUUUAUAAAUAUUAAUAUUAAAUUGUUAAUAUAAUUUUUUAUAACCCGCCGCAACGCGCGGCUUCUCAACUAGUUUGAAUAAACAGAAGAUGAGAUCCGUAAUAUUAAUCAACUACUAAAGUUCAAGUAUUUGGACUAUCAAAUUUUUAACAUUUUAAAUUUAAUAUAUAAUAUAAAUUUAAACAUCAAACGUUUUAUUUACUUAUAAGCAUAUAUUAAAAAUAUUAAUUCACUACUCUGUGAUUUAUUUGUCAUGUUCAUUUAUUUGAAUGCUUUCUAUAUAAUAUCAGAGUUUGAAAUUUUCUUUUUAAAUAAAAAAUGAGAAUACUAUUAUUUUAUUCAAUUUAUCAAUUUAUUGGCCUUAUAUGUUUAUACAUUAAAAUUUGAAUUUAUUCACUUAAUUUUAUUUCUUUGGUGACACAUACGGGUACACCAAUAUAAGUUAUACCUUGUAUAAUAAAAUUAUGUAUAAAUAUUUAAAUAUUCCAUAUUAAUCUUGUGAGAAGUUAAAUAUGCAUAUUUUCGCCCAAACCUCUUAGAUAUUUUGCGUCAUUUAAAAAAAUAAAAAUAAAUUUUGAUGCAUGGCUUGUUUAAUGUUCCCACACUUCACAUGUGAGUAGUGAGUGCAAGAUCUACUGGUUACAAACUUGAUCAUUCUUGUCUUCACUCCUGUCUUGUGAAAAGAAUCCGUCAAGUAAUUCAAUUAAAACAUGUUAUUUAUAUAAUAAAUGAGGCAAAACAUCACGCCAAGGGCCCUAACCUUAAUUAUUGAAUCAUUGAAAUCAUGGGUAUAGGAUUCUAUUGUCAAUGCUCAUGCUCAUCCUGUGCCCAUGGACCCAUUUCUGUUGUCACUCACCAAACCAAACCAAGGGCAUGAACCUGUCGACCAUCAUCUACUACAAAAAUGGGAGAGUAAAGCUCGGAAUCAGAAUUUCGAAACAUCCGAGUCAGGAUAUUUAAUUUCCACAAUUUUAUCAAAUACCCAAAAAUAGUAGAACUAAAAAAAUAAAGGGUCCGUUUGGUUGAGAGAAGCAGAAGCUGCUUCUGGUUUCUACUUCUCUUGACCCGUUUGUGUAAAGAAUUAGAAGCAUUUUUAAGAAGCUGAGAAGAAUAGUUUCUGCUUUUUUUCCAAACAAUUUAUUAACUUAUUUACUUCUCACUUCUACUUCACUUCUUUAUUAUAAGUAAGAAAUUACUUUUUUUAAGCUAACCCAAACGGUCCCAAAAUUUACUCACUUUUUAAAGACGAGAAAUAUUAUACUAAAUUUGGAUUUUAGCUGAUCGGUCGAGAUUUGAGUUCAGUUUAUGACAUUAAGUUAGCCCCUCUCUAGUUGGUCUACUGGGCAUCAAUAACAAUGUUCAUUCAUACUACCCCGUAAGAUUUUUUGUUUUUACCUAGCUCCCGAAUGUUACUACUCGGUUAACAUUAGUACUUGUAGUAAAAGAAGAAUGACCAGAGUGGUCAGUGGAGAAAGGAGGAAAAUAAAUGUCAGUUACUACAUUACUAAUGAAGGGUGUGUUUGUUUAUGAAGUUGGUUUCAAUUGACAUAUUGAGGAAGCUGUUGGCCUCUAUGUUCUCUGUACUCAAAGUGGGGCUGUGUCCUAAAAGAUGCAAGAGAGAAGGCCAGUGGUUGUCCUGUCACAUGGCAGGUACCUAUCAAACAAGAAACUUAUUUUAUCUCUUUUCUUGGACGCAAGCAUUUUCUUCACUAUAUUAUCAACACAUUAUGCAUAAUAAUAGAUAUCCUGCAAGACUGCAGCUUCAUUUCAUUUAACCCCGCAGAGAUCAUACUUAGACCAUCUACAAUGCAGGGACACAUUGUGCCUCGGGGCAUGCAAAAAAGAAGUGGGCACCUCAUAUACACAUGUUUAGCAUUGGAGAGAAGUUAAAAAAAGCGGCCAUGGACAGCAUGGUGUCCCUGGACAACUUCUGUAAAACCUGCUUAUUUAUAUUAUUUUAUUACAAAAACUGAAAAAUGCUGCAGCUACUUUAUACACAUACAUCAACAAUUGAAAUGAGGAAACGGUAAUAUUAACGUUACGAAUGUAACGUUAAUAUAUUAACGGUAAGAUUUUUUUUUUAUAAAUACCUAAAAAUUCACAUUUUAUUAUUCACACUCUUACUUCUUGAAAAAUUAAAAUUUCUCUCAAAAGAUGAAUCCAAAUAAUCCCCCACCUCCAAAUUCUACAAAUCCGAACCCUCAAUUUCCAUAUCCAUAUCCAAAUUCUUAUUUCCCAAAUCCACAAAAUUUUAAUUCUCAAACCCCAAAUUCUCAAUACCCAUUUCCACAUUCUCAAAAUUCUCAAUAUCCAUUUUCAUAUCCUCAAAAUUCUCCAUAUCAGUAUCCAUUUCCUACAUUUUCAAAUUCACAAUUUGAAACUCAACAAUCACCUCCUAAUUUCGAAAAUUCUCCACACUCACAAGUGCCCGCCUUUAAUAAUAGAAAUUUUAUUGAUCUAAAUGAUGAUUUUGAGGAAACUGAAGAAGUACGAGAAAUUACUGGACAGUGGAAGUGGGCUGAAGAUAAGCUUUUAAUAAGUGCAUGGUUGAAUGUGUCAAUUGAUCCCCUAGUGGGCACUGAUCAAAAAGCCGACGCAUUUUGGGACCGAAUUCAACAAUAUUGCGAGGAAGAUAAUCCCGGUGUCAUCAAGAGAGGAGCUGCAGCUAUGAGAAAAAGGUGGCAACGCAUAAAUGAAGGUGCUCAGAAAUUUGGAUCAUGUUAUGAAGACGCUUAUAAGAAAAUGGGGAGUGGUGCAAAUUUGGAUGACGUAAAUGAGAAAGCUCAUAUUUUGCAUUCUGCCAAAUACAAAAAGAAGUCUAACUUUGAUAAGCAUUGGUUUGAGCUUCGUAGACAACCCAAGUGGAGAACUCCUUCAACCACUGACAGUUCGAAAAGAACUAAAAUAAGCAGCUCUGGAGCUUACUCAUCAUCGGGAAAUAACGAUACACCAACAAGUGAGAAUGUUGCUGAAUCUCCUGUUCGUCCUAAAGGUAGGGAAGCGGCUAAAAGAAAGGGAAAGGGAAAGGCAAGAGCGGUACAAGCGUCCGAUGAGUGGGAAGAAUUACGAGCUAGUACAUGUCGAAAGCUAAAUCUAAUGGAAGCAAUAAAUGAAACUCGUCAAAAGGAAAUUGAGACUCGAGAAAAAGAGAUUGAGGCAAAGCAAACUGAAAUGGAUUUACAAGUCAUUUUGGCAGAUACUACUAAAAUGAAUGAUAUUCAGCGGAUGGCUCAUUCAAAAUUGCUUGAAAAAAUUAUGGCAAGGAACUAGUUUGUUUUUAUUUGUUUGUAAUGUAGCCGUUGGAGGCUAGUGUUUGUUUUCAUUUGUUUGUAAUAUAGCCGUUGGAGGCUAGUGUUUGUUUUCAUUUGUUUGUAAUAUAGCCGUUGGAGUCUAGUGUUUGUUUUCAUUUGUUUGUAAUAUAGCCGUUGGAGUCUAGUGUUUGUUUUCAUUUGUUUGUAAUAUAGCCGUUGGAGUCUAGUGUUUGUUUUCAUUUGUUUGUAAUGUAGCCGUUGGAGGCUAGUGUUAGAAUAUAUUCGUUUUUUUCUUCUAUAUAAACUACUUGUGUUAGUUUGUUCAAUUCACUUUACAAUGGAUCAAACACCUUCACUAGAAAAGUUUACUGAAGAAUUCAUCGAUGAGUUUUGUUUCGAUGAUGCUGAAGACAAUCGUCGUCUUGAGUUGUAUCAUGAAAUAUACGGACAGAGCUCACGAUCCAAGCCUCGAAAAAGUAUAUUCAGAGACCGUGAAUCAGGUCAUCAGCGUCUCAUGAAUGAUUACUUUUCACCGAAUCCAGUAUAUCCUGAACAAAUCUUCCGCCGAAGAUUUCGUAUGGGAAGACAUGUUUUUCUGCGUAUUGUGGAUGCUCUUUCAAAUUCUGAUCCAUACUUUCAACAAAGAAUCGAUGCAGUGGGAAGAAAAGGCUUAUCACCUUUACAAAAAUGCACUGCAGCAAUACGUAUGUUGGCGUAUGGAGUAUCUGCUGACGCUGUUGAUGAUUAUGUUCGUAUUGGAGAGACUACGGCGAUUGAAUGCUUAAAGAAAUUUGUCUCUAAUAUCAUUAUGAUAUUUGAGAGUGAAUACUUGCGCAAGCCGAACUCCAAUGAUGUAGAACGUCUACUACAGAUGGGCGAGGCUCGUGGAUUUCCUGGUAUGAUGGGCAGCAUUGACUGCAUGCACUGGCAGUGGAAAAAUUGUCCUAAAGCGUGGAAGGGAAUGUUCAUGAGUGGUCACAAAGGAGUUGCAACAAUUUUACUAGAAGCUGUUGCUUCAUCUGAUCUAUGGAUAUGGCAUGCAUUUUUUGGAGUUGCUGGAUCAAAUAAUGACAUAAAUGUAUUAGACCGAUCACCAGUAUUUGAUGAAGUGUUACAAGGUCGUGCUCCAGAGGUAAAUUAUACUAUCAAUGGGAACAAUUAUAAUAUGGGCUACUACUUGACAGAUGGAAUAUAUCCUGAAUGGGCAACAUUUGUGAAAACAAUAUCACGUCCACAAGGUGAGAAAAGAAAAUUAUUUUCGAAAUAUCAAGAAAGUCAGCGAAAAGAUGUUGAACGAGCGUUUGGUGUGUUGCAGUCUCGUUUCGCAAUUGUUCGUGGUCCUUCACGUUUUUGGGACAAAGCGGAUCUUGGGAGAAUUAUGAGAGCAUGCAUCAUAAUACAUAACAUGAUUGUUGAAGACGAGAGGGACACGUACGCCACUCAAUUUGGUCCUUUACCAACUUAUGAUGAUGCAACAAAUGGCUUAAUGCAACCAAAUUUAGGUGAAGAACCUUUUAUCCCGUAUGAAACGUAUAUUCAAAAUAUCAUACAGCUGCGUGAUAAACGGACACAUCGUCAGCUCCAAAAUGACUUGAUUGAGCAUAUCUCGCAGUUUCACAACAAUCGUUAAUUUUUAUAUUGUAAUUUUUAAAUUUAAUGCUUUCCUGUGUGAUGUUUAUGUAACAUUUUAUCAUUUAAGUUUUUAAUAAUAUGAUGCAUUUUAAUUACAUGAUAUGUUUUUUAUUUUAAUAAAAUUUUUUAAAAAAUAAACACAGAAUAUGAGAAUUAGAAAAAUUAAGUUAAAUUGUAACGACAUAGCAUACGUAAAUUUACUACAAAUAUGAGACAAUAAAAUAAUUAAAAUGGGUCCUACAAAAAUAAAGCAAAUGGGCUGUACAUUGCAUGAGCUUGGAUAGUUUUGGACGGUGGACAGUUUUGUGAUGAGGUGGUAUCCAAAUGGGGCCCAUUGAAGAAAAACUUGUCCACAGCAUUGUGGAUGGUCUUACUACAUUGAUUUCUGCAAUUAGUCACAGGUACUGCUGGCCAAAUGAGAGGUUUCGAACCACUCGUGCAGAACCAGACUGUUAAUUAUUCGUUUAAAUUUAAUCAAGUAGCGGUUUGAACCGGUCCGGCCCGAAUUGUUAAAAAUAACGAAUCGAAUACAGGUCGUUAAGUUUAAAAUCACAAUCGCCCGCAAAUCCGACAAGUUGGGCAUAUUUGGGAAUCAACAAAUUAUUCGUGAAUUAUUCAGCCCGCGAAUCAACUCCUGUUGUUCGGUUACGUGCUUGUUUUUCGGUGCACCAUGGUUAACGUGUGUUAACACUUGUUUGAAUUUAUUUAUUUGAUUUUUAUAAUUAAAUUAAUGUAACGAUGCGGUCUGUUCCAUUUUUUUAAAGAGGAUAAUGGUCAGUCAAAGGUUGUCCUCUACUCAUUCGAACUGUUGCCAAGUCGACCCAGGUCGAUUGCCCUAGUGGCCAAGACCAGUUACAAAGACCAAGUCCACCACAACGUUAUCUUCUUAUCACUCGUUGUAACUGGCAACGCUUCUUUUAUAUGAAUACGUUUAUUCGCUAUAAUGCCGUUGUAACUGGCAACGCUUCUUUUAUAUGAAUACGUUUAUCCACAAUAAUGUUCAUGUUAUUCGUUAUACUUAGUAAUAAUUUUAUUAUACGAAUACAAUUAUUCAGUGCAACGCUUUUUUAUCCGUUAUAAUAAUAACACUUAUGAACAAAACUUGUGAUUUUUUUUAAUCUUAUCACGCUUUUUAUUCGCAGAAAAAUAUGUCACAAACUGACCCAAUUGUUGAUGAAUUAUUGGCGAUUCAUUAUAAAGGACCCUGUCUAGAUUGUUAUUAUCGGUUAUAACUAGUAACGCUUCUUUUAUAUGAAUACAAGAAUACUCCGUCCGUUCCUUAGUUGUUUACACGAGGCGACGGGGGCGCAACAUGUACUUUAAUGCUUUCAUAAAAUAUAAUUUGACAAAUUAUUUUGAAUUUUAUUUUUUUGACUAAAAGUUUAAUAUUUUUAUUUUUGGGAAAAAAUUUAAAAUAAUUUAUGAAAUUCUAUUUUAUAUAUAUUUUAAAGUACGUGUUAAACAAUGUAAAAAGACCGUAAAAAAAAGAGGGAUAAAGGAAGUAACACUUUCUUUUGUAUCUAUACAAUUAUCCGUGUAAAGUUUUUUUACCCAUUAUAUAUAGUAACACUUUGAUUUAUAUGAACAAAAUCUAUGAUUCUUUUUAAUCUUAUCAAAUUUUUUAUUCUUCAAAAUAUGUCAUACAUUGACCUAAUUAUAAACGAGUGAGCUCUGCAAUAUUUAAUCAUGAGAGACAUAGUCUACAACAUUUACGUUUUUAUUAUCCGUUAUAACUAGUAACAUUUUUAUUUAUGUGAAUACGCUUGUUUAAUAUAAUGUUUGUAUAUCCGUUAUAAGUAGUAAUAUUUUCUUUCUAUAUGGAUACGAUCACUCAUUAUAACAUUUUUUUUACCCGUUACAAAUAACAACACUAAAUUUAUAUGAACGAAACUUGUGAAUAUAUUCGUCAUCCCACUUCUAAUAUAAUUCACAAAAAAUAUAUCACGAACUGACCCAAUUAUGAAUUAGUUUAUGUUACUAUGUUUAUAUGAUCACCAGAAUGCAGAAACAAUACAAAGAGGAAGAGAGAAAUGUAAAAAAAUCAUAAAGAAAUGAGAGGAACAAAUGAAGCAACACUUUUUUGUAUAUGUAUACAAUUAUCUGGUGUAAAGUUUUUUACCCAUUAUAGAUAGCAACACUUGAUUGAUAUGAAUAAAAUCUAUAAAUUUUUUUUUUAAUCCUAUCUCAUUUUUUAUUCGCCAAAAUAUGUCACAUAUUGACCCAAUUAUAAAUGUGUGAGAUCUGCAAUUAGUCAUAUGAGACAUAGUCUACGACAUUUACGUUUAUUAUCGGUUAUAACUAGUAACGCUUCUUUUACAUGAACAUGCUCGUUCAAUAUAACGUCUAUACAUCCGUUAUAACUAGUAAUUUUUUUUUAUAUGAAAACGAUUACUAAUUGUAACGUUCUUUUAUCCGUUAUAAAUAACAACACUAAAUUUAUAAGAACGCUUGUGAAUUUUUUCGUUAUCACACUUUUAAUUCACGAAUAAUAUAUCACGAACUGAUCCAAUUAUAAAUGAGUUUAUGUUACUAUAUAUGUUUAUAUGAUCGCCAGAAUGCAGAAACAAUACAGAGAGGAAGAGUGUAGAAAGUGAUAGCUCCAGAAGUUGAGUAAAUAUUCAUUCCAUUGUAAUAAAUAAAACAUACAUAUCUCCUCAUUAAUGAAAUUGAAAACCGAACUAACUAUAUACUCCCUGUCCCAUUUUAACUGAUGUUUGACUUUUUGACACGUAUAUUGAGAUGCAAAAAACCUAUAUCUACACUUAAUAAAAAAAUUCAAUUUUUAUAUCAAAUUAAAGUUUAGAUUCUAAACUUUUAUUUGAUAUAAAUUAUACAAAGAAUAAUUAUGUUUAGAUAUGAUUUUUUUAACACCUUAAAAUACGUAUAAAAAAGUCAAAAGCAGUUAAAAUGGGACGGAGGGAGUAUAAACACUGUCCGUAUGUAUGCAUCCUUUUAACUCAGAACAGAUUCUGUUAAUACAUUUCCUCAAAUGUCCAUGACAAUUCAUAUUACUUUAAUCUUCAACUUCAUAACCUGCUAUUUCAGUUUUAACCUCUCUCACUGGAACUUUAACAGUGACAUCACUCUUACAGGCUCAGUGAGAUUUACUUUACUUGCAUUUAGUGCCUGCCUUUAUUCUUAAGUGAUCAACCCAUUUAUUGUGUUAUUUAUUUAUGUAGAAAAAAACUGACAUUUUAUUUAAGUUUCAUUGGGAUUUGUAGUGCUAACUCUCUCCGCAUGAUUCUGAGUUCAUCACUUCAAGCAACAAAAACACAUUUUCCUGGUUAAAAGAUCUAAACCCUUUAUUUGUUUGAUUUAUAAUUUAUAGUAUAACUUUAUAUAAGAAAAAUAUCGGGUCAUUCUGAGCUCAACCAGUGUUCUGAAGAUCUCCGAUUAAUUUUGAUUAUUUUUUUAAGGUAUUUUUACGCGGCAUGGAUUGGUCGAUUGACUAAUCUUGGCUUGUUAACCCGCCGAUCGAUUUAUCGACUACACUAUGAUUUAAUUGAAAAUUAAUUCAUAAAAUCUACUACAAAUCCUGAAUUCAUAUAUCAACUGAUCCGUUCUGAUUUUUGAUUUUUAUAACCAUGAAUUUCAAUCUAUAAAAUUAUUCGAGUUGAUUAAAUAAAAGAAAGGGAGUGCUAGUAAAUAGAAAAAGGUGAGUCUGCUGUAAACAUACAAGGCCCCAGCCCCCAGGUGAUAACCACUGCCAUACGUACCCAUCUACUUUAAACUUCUCUUUUCUCUUAUAAAUACUCCCCCUUACUCAUUUCAUCUCUCUCAGUCUCUUUCCUCACAAUUAUCAUCUUCAACAAACCCAAUCACACAGAACCACAGUUUAACUCUCUCUCUCUCUCACCUUUGUGUAGUCCCAAAAAGAAACCCAAAAGUUGCUCGAGAUUUUACUCCAACAUGGCUGCAACAACAGCUCCUAGUGUGCCUAGUACAAGUGGUGGAGGAUCAAGAAACACAGAGCUCUGUCUAGAUGAGAAGUGGAAGCUCUCCAAGAAAGAAGGCUCAUUCUCCUCAAGAAACUCAGCAUCCAUGAACCAAUCCAGCUCAAGAACUCAUCACUCAUCUUCUAGAAGAAGAUGUGCAUUCACAAGAAAGUGUGCUAGGCUUGUCAAAGAACAGAGAGCCAGAUUCUACAUCAUGAGGCGCUGUGUCACCAUGCUCAUCUGCUGGCGUGACAAUUUCUCUGAUUCCUGAUCUUUUUCAACUUUUUUCGAGAUUUUAUCUUGUGGGUCAGUUUUUUUUUUCUUGGUUAGGAGGAUUCAAGAAGACCCUUUAUAUGUAAAUACAUAUGUGAUAUGGCUAUAGAUUUUUGUUUUUUGAGGUCUAAAUCUCUGUAAGAGACACAGAUUCUUUAUGUUUAUGUAGGAUUUAUUAAUGUUAUGAAAUACAAACAUCAACUCAAUAUAUAGGUGAUGCCUUUAUAAAUUUCAGUCUUGAUGAUUGACUUGAAUUGAUGGUGCUUCUUGAAAUCUCUCCGGGAGAGAUAGGGAGAGAGAGAGAGAGAGAUUCCCAUUGAAGCAUAGCAGUGGGCAGUGCAGCACUGUGUGGAUCCGGUGUGCUAGCCUGACACUAAUCUUAUUUUAUUACAAUAAUUUACUAUAGAUUAUCUUGUAGCUCUAAAUUUUUUACCAUUUUUUAUUACUAGCGUAGAGUAGUUCAAAAUAUGUGGCAGUCUCGCAAAACUGGAUCAACGUGGGAGAGAGAAUUGACAACUUUACUUUCGUUUCUUCUUAUACUAAUGCCACUUAAUAAAGAUGCGAUUUUUAUAUGUUACCAUUACUGCUGAUCAGUGAUCAGUAUUAUAUUGAUUUGAUUUCAACGGUGGUCAUUUUAAGUUGAAAAAAUUUGGGAUAGUGGUGCAUAUGACUUUAUUGUGUAAAAUGUACGAGAAUGGAUUUUAAUAGUUACCAAGAGAAAGUAAAAGGUUAAAAGUUUUACCAGGUUUUCUGCAACUAGUACCAUCACUUUCAUUAAACAGAUUCCACAGCUGUACGUAUAUAUCACAAGAUUCACCGCGGUUAAAGUUCACUCUACCCGGUGUAACACCUCCACCUCUCGUUUAACUUAUAAGUUACUUAUAAACGGAAAAAUCUAGCACCUUUUUGGCAACCAAUAUUUUCAUAAAAUAAGUCGUUCUUUUAUUUAAAAAAAAUUUUGUUUUAGAGUUAUUUUGGAUGUAGAUGUUAAAGAAGUGUUUCAUAUUCGUUAUUUGACAAAAAUAUAAAGACUUAUUUUAGAAAAAAGUAAACUAUUUUUUUAUAAAUAAGCUCUUGUUUUUGGAAAAUAAGAUUAACCUAAUUGCAUGUUAGUAUUUUUGAAAAACUACUUAUAAGUCAUGGCCAAAUAGUCAUCGUACAAACUCGAUUGCGAGAUAUUAUGGGGCUGUUUGGCUGAACUUAAAAGAAUUGAUUUUUUAUUGCUUAAACUAUAGAAGUGAAUUAUAAGUGAAAAGUUGGCUUAAAUUUAUAAGUUAUUAUUAGCUGUUUUUAACCAGAUCGAACCUAAUUGGUUGUCACUUCCAAUUAUUUCACAAAAUAUUUACUGAAAUGUAAAAUUUACUGGAAAAUAUUGUUGGAUGAGGAUAUGGAUGAAGUCUGCAAGGGCAAGGAAAAAAAGACCAUAUGGCAGCUGCUACAACUGUUGCUUAAAAUCUUUGACCACAACAGCUGCUGGACCACUCUCAGGCUUUGACUCUUUCCGUGGAGUGGAGUGGAGGCCAUAACUUUGGGCUUUUUCACACUGCUGUGCUGCUCACUCUUUUUCACUUGUGAAUAGGACUGGGUAAAACAUAAAGUAAGGUUAAAGGCAAGUAUGAGAUUGAUGGCCUCUGCUUUUCAUACUUAAUUCUUUUUGCUAUUAUUCAAUUCUUGACCAUUUUUAUGUUUUCUAAUUACCUGGAUUACGGACUACUAAUCAAACGGUGCAAGUCUAGUUUUAUUUUAUAUUUCUCUAUUUUCACACGAAGUAAUAUACAAAAUUUCUCUUUGACCAUUUAGGUGAGUUUAAAAUAAGCUCUUCUUGAUAAAGUAAAGAGUUGAAGUAGAAACAAGUUAAGAAUUAUAAGUGAUUAAAGUGUUUAGGAAAUAAGUAGAAGUUACGAAACAAAACUUUUUAUAAAUAAUUUUUAACUUUACGGUACGAAUAAGUGGUUAUAACUUAUAGAGUCCGACCAAACACUCCCAAAAUAAUAAAUCAUCCUCCCAGCAUAUAUUGAUGUUCUAUCGAUAUUUAGAAGUGACACGUAUUCAGAACUUAGAAGUAUAGGUUAAAAAUAAAAUUCAUGAGUAGCAAUUUUUUUUAUGUUUAGACGAGCUCAGAUAUUGAAUUUGCCAACAAAAUUGAGAAUUUUCAACCAUCAAUCAAAUAAGAAUAAAGAACGGUUAAGAUAUCAUCUGACUCAUAUAUCAUGCGUUAGUGUUUCGAUUAUGACAUUAAUCACUACUCUUAUGAUUGUUUUCACAAAGCGUGAUUCUAAUUGGGAUCAGUGUAAGGGGUAAUCUGUGUUUAAGAAUUAAGAGAUCCUCCUCAACAUUUGUGCUCGAUGUAGUUGGAUUGUGUGGGUCAUUGUGGCAAUAAUGGUAAAUCGAAUUAGAUUUUGGGUGCCAUAUUUUCAAUAAUUGGAUUUGCUUUAAACUGUUGAACUUGAUUAUUUUUCUCCUCGCAAUCGACAGGUAUAUCACGCUGAUAUAAAGUUUGUGCAUUAAUCAUUUCUAACCUUAUCAUUGCUAGGGCGUGCUUUUUCAUUUUGAUUUAUUAGACUUCUAUUCUACUGUAGCCAGAUCUUCGUUCCCUCCCCGUUUUUCUUGGAAUACCAUCGCGAUUUUACGAAGUGGCUGUUUGGCGGGGCUUUUAAGCCAUGCUUCUGGACUUUUAAGUUAGAAGCACUUAUUUCGUACCGUUUGUGUAAAAAAUCGAGAAGCACUUAUAAAAAGCUACGAUUCCUAGCUUUUGUUUCAUGACUUCUGCUUUUUUCCCAAACACUUUAAUCACUUAUAAGUCUUAACUAACUUCUAACUUCUACUUCACUUUUUUAUUUUAAGCAAGAAGCACUUAUUUUAAGCUCACCCAAACGGCCCCGAAAUCUCACUCAUUUAUUGAUGAUGCAGAUCUUGUAAUUUGUUGUGAUUAUAAGGGGCUAGGUAGAAGCAAGAAUCUAGGUUCCUAGAAUGUCGAAGUUACCAUGUCAAACUUGAAAUUUAAUGUAGACGUUCAUCUGAAGUUGUUUACAUAAGUGAGUUGCAUGAAAAGCAAAAACGACUCUCGACAUCAUCUGGUGUCCGAAAAAGAGUUUUAUGCAUUUCGGGUAAAAACGUAAACAGAAAUAAACAUAUUCAGUAUAUUUUACUCGAAAUAUCAAAAUAAGAAGACUUUAAAAUGCGUGUUACCGAGCACAAUUGGAUAACCCAUGUGGUGGGUUUAUCCUCUGUUGUCUCCGAAAAUCCGGGUUCGACUCUGGCUCAUCCGAAUAGUAUUAGAAUGUGUUACCGUUACCACUAACCACUAAAACGCUAAAGUCUUGCAACACUAUGGGUAAACCUAUAUGAAGGCUCUGCUUGCGUUGCAGAAAACAUAAAAGCCAAAAUAAAUGCAUUUUGUACUGAAAGCAGUCCAAAAAAACCAUAAAUACUCAUCUUGACAAGUGCUAGGGUCAAAUUCUCAUAUCUAAUCUAUAAGCACAAACUUUAAUGCUCCUGUAAGGAUAGUUCGAAAUAUUGUUCAGUAACUUAUUUUUUAAGUACGUGUCAAGCAGUGCACGACAAAAUUGAAUGAGACAAAGAGAGUAAAAGGUAGUAAAUAUGUAAUCUAUACUAUAUUAUUAAAACUAGACAUACAAAAGGUAGUCCAGUACGGUGCAUCAUAAAUAUUGGAUCACUUAAAUCAAAUUAAUGAGAACCGUAAUAUUGAAUUAUAUAUAUUUCACUAAAAUGCUACUAAAGUUCUGAUGUUCAAAUUUCGUCAAUAACAUAAUAAUAUAUUAGAGGUGCCUCGCUUUCCCACCACUAAUCACGGCCUUUUGAGUGCUGGAACAUUUUCUAGUACGGGAGCUGAUUCACUACAUUAAGUUACACGGGAGAAUCUGCUUUGAGAAAUUGGCAAGAGUCAAAAAGGAAAGAACAUAGGACGAUUAAAGAGGGUCUCUAUAUUUUAUAGUGAGGAUUAGCGCUGUGUUAAAGAUAACUUUUUUCUAUAUGCCACCAAGCACCAAAUGGGACACAUUUGGAGCUUAGGGGGAUACCUGUCUCUCAGCUAGAACCACGGUUAACUAACAACAAAGGGUGAGCCGUAAAGAAAACGCAUACUCAGUGAAUGAGGUGGCCACACUAUCCCAUAGGUCUGCUCCAGCUCUUUUAUCCCUCGUCCUAAGUCCAUCUAAAACAUGUACCAUGUCCCAUUGGUUUCAGAAUUCAGAAUGUACCAGUAACUAACAAUAUUUCCAUCAUGUUCAGCUGUGGCAUGGCCUUAUUCUACUCAACUACCACCAUCGAUUUAAUCCCACCUUCAAUUAAUUCUCUGAAAUUAAUGUCUAUUUACACUUACUUGAACAUAUGAAUGAUCUCUUCACAAUGAUACCACUCAUCUUACAACUAAACUAUUGAUUUCAAUUAACCAGUUAACUAUCAUUAUAUAAUAGUAGACACCAGGAGAAUUAUUUUUUUAAUAUUCUCUCUCUUGAAGCAGAAAAGCAAUUAGGUAUAUUUAUCUUCAAUCGCCUUAUCUUCAAGUCUCUUCUCUCUAAUUAUGUUUCUUUCACUAAAUUAUUGCUAAUACUAAUCUACAACUUAGGGUAUUUCAAAAAUUUGACUUGUGCCAUUCGCAAAAAUUCAUUACUAUCGGAAUUAUUGUAACAUCACAAGAAGUAAAGAGCACAACAGUGCCAUUAUGAAUUCCCCAUUAAAUUAUCGUGAUUCAAGUUUCACCAUGUUUGAUCCAAAUAGUCCCAUAAAGAUUCAACAUGAGCUUUUAUAAUUCCUAUAUUUGCCCAAGCAUUCAUUUGAUCUAUUUUCAACUAUCAAUUAUAUGCAAAUUAAUUUAAGUUCCUUCAUCAGUUUAUACCUAGACACACAACAAGAAUGUAAUGACGUAACAGAUUAACCAUAAAGAAACAUUUCUAGGAUAUUAAGGUACUUUGUGCCUACAUAUUCGAACAUAAGAAUAUGAAUACUAUCUACUUUGUCAAAACAUAAUCCAAAAGGGCAAUCUUAAAUAAUACCAUAAGGUGUGAUAUUAAGCAAUAUGCUUCAACAAUUAAGAGGGGUGUAUAGUGCAUACCUGAGGUACAAGAUCUAAUAAAGAUGCACAUGGGAGCACAGAUCGUUUAUUAAAGCAACUUGCAAAAUCAUAUGGCAUAUUCACCAGCAUAUUCUCUAAAAGCCGUCAUACGUAAAUUUUCCCGGUUUACUUGGAUAAAGAGGAUAUGGCAUAAAAUAAUGAAACUUUACAAAUUCAAAAUCCGUAAAAACAUCUUGCAAGGAAAAACUAAACAUAGCUAACUACAAGUGGAUAAACAGAUUACAAUCUAAGAAACCCUUCAGAAAUGUCAUAUUUGCGCAUUCUCAGUGUAAAAGAAUCUGUGUACCUUAUACUUCAAAGAAGUCAGCUCAGAUAGUAAUAAGGCUCUACCUUUUCAGCUAACCUUCUGCACAAUAAGGUGCCGUAAUAUAAUGAAUUAUUCCAGGGGAGUUCUGUUCAUCAAGAUUAAGUCGUCCUCUUUAUUAUGUACAAGAUCCACAAUCAUGUAUGUCUCCCAAAAACAUAGAAUGUUCAUCUUUCUGAAAAGACAAUUACUAGCAUAUUACACAAACAUACUUGUAUUCAUGUUAUCGUCGAUCAAAAGGCAUGUGUCUAGGUGAAGAAGAGUUGCUAAAUACCGACGUCACCGAAUUACUCCUAACAUUCACCCUAGAAUCAGAACUUGAACUAGCAUCCAAUGAUCUUGAACCGCCAAAACAACUAAACAAAUUCCCUAAAACUCGCCUGAACCCACCUCUUUCCNNNNNNNNNNNNNNNNNNNNNNNNNNNNNNNNNNNNNNNNNNNNNNNNNNNNNNNNNNNNNNNNNNNNNNNNNNNNNNNNNNNNNNNNNNNNNNNNNNNNNNNNNNNNNNNNNNNNNNNNNNNNNNNNNNNNNNNNNNNNNNNNNNNNNNNNNNNNNNNNNNNNNNNNNNNNNNNNNNNNNNNNNNNNNNNNNNNNNNNNNNNNNGAAGCCCAGGAAAUCCUCCUCGGAGCCCCAUUAUUAUUAAACCCGCCGUCCAUCUCUGUAAACACAACAGGUAAUUCUCGUUCACCUCUCCUACCACCUGAAAACCUCCCCACAGCAAAUCCACCUCCCGGCAACCUCCAUAUCGUCAACCCAAUACUUUCAUCUUCAUUAUUCUGCUCCACAUUUUCCUCAUUCUCAACUCCACUAGACUCAAUAGGCAAUUCAUAUCGACAAACAGGACAAGAAUUACGAAUAGACAACCAAGGCACAAUACAAUCAUAAUGAUAAAUGUGCUUACAAGGCAUUUCUCGAGCUUCGGUCCCAAACUCAAACAAUUCAGUACAAACAGCACAAUGCAGCUCACUACAAACAUGAUCAUCACCAAUCACCACACUGGGCAUCGACUCAAUCGCCACUUUCGAAGCCGGUGGAUGAUCAAUCCUCCCAACUCCAUUCGCUUCAAUUUGCGAUAGCUGAUCCAACAACCGAUCGAACCCCGAACCCAACAAAGACCCCGACACACUAUUCGGCAACGGCCUCAAACCCGACCCGGCACCAUCAUCAUAAUACAACUCAAAACCCGACCCGGACACGGAUCCGGAACCCGACCCGGAAUCACCCAUUUGCUCAGACCCAUCACUAUUUCCACGAAGAACAAUGACAGGAUUGAACGGAGACCGGUCGUCGCCGGUGCGGCGACUUCGGCGGAUCGCCGGCGUGGAAUUCUGAUCUAAAUUGGCGCGAUUUCCGAUCAUGAACAAGCGGUUUCGGUUCGGGUUAUCGAUGGACUCCACAAACCCGGCGUUACAAUCGGGGCAAGAGAGAUUAUUAAGAGAUUGUUGAUUUAAAACCCUAACGUAUCGGCUGCAUCUGUAGCACCAGUGAGAAGAAGAAGGCAUGUUUGUGUGUGUGAAAUGCAAACCGUAGAAAUUUGUGUGUAUAUAGUGCGUGUAGAUCUAGAGAGUUUAAAGAUAGAAGUACAACUAGUGCGUGUGUGUGUCUGAAAAUGAAAACUAAAUUUUACAAGUAACUUGUGUGUGUGGUGUUUGAUUGAGAAUGUGAAUUUGGGCAGGUCGAGGGGACUGAGCAAAAAAUAGAAUAUAAAUUAAAAAAAUUUAAAACCGCAUCGAACGGUGUCAAAUCGAAUCUGAAACUGAAAUCGGAAUUAAAAAUUUAAUUGUUCGAUUCCGGUUAUAAUUAGAAAUCUAGCCGAAAAAAUUGUGUUGGUCUAAUUUUUAAAAUUAAUAUUAUAUAUUUUAUUAUUUAUAAUUUAUAUAGAAUGGCGAUUGUGGCGGGGUCGCGGUAAAGAACGUUCAUCCGGCGAUUCAAUCGGACCAAGAGCGGGGCGACCGUUGUGACGGAGCCGCGGCGGAAGACGUUCACUCGGCGAUUCAAUGAGAGCAAGAGCGGGGCGGUGAAUUAAUCCGACGAUUAUGUUGAUGAAACUGUGAAAAAGGAGAAGAAGAUAGAGAGGGAGGUGGAGAGAUAAGUAAUAAAGAAAUGAAAAAGUGAAUUAAAGAAAGUAGAAUAUUUGCAAAUUUUAAAAAAUUUUAUAUUUGAAAGAUUUUAGAGAGAGUAGUACUCCCUUUGUUUUCUAUCAUUUGACGUUUUGACUUUCGGCACACAUUUUUAAGUCAUUUGACCGAUAGUUAAAAAUAUUAUUUUUGAUUUAUAUUUUUUGUGAUAUAAAUCAAUACCUUCCAUUUCAUGCAAAUUAAUCACUCAACUUUACAUCACCAUUUUAAUAUUACACUAAUAUCACACUAAUGAUAUAGUUUAAAUGUAUAGCAAAUUAAUCACUCAACUUUGUAUCUAUUUUCAAUUAGGUCAACGGUUAAUUUUAAAUUUAUAACUUUCAAAAUUAUGAUUUGCAUCUUAAAUUUCUAUCUUAAAUUAUGGUUUUAAAACUUCUAUUUCUUCUCUCAAAAAAAAAAAAAAACUUCUAUUUCUAAUAACUUUCAAAUUUAACUGAUAAUAAAUCAUGUAAAAUAUAAUGUUAGAAAAUUUGAUUUCUCUCUCCGCCUCAACAUUCUUUACUGGUUACUCCCUCCGUCCCUAAAUACUUUUCCUGUUUGUACUUUUCACGUUUGCCAACACACAUUUUUGAUCGUUAAUAUCUUUCAUUUCGUAGUAGCAUUAAAUAUAAAAAUUUCACCGUAUUAAAGUACUCGUGAAUACGAAUCUAACAAGAUCACUCAUGACUAUAUUUAGUUUUAUAGAUUAGAUGUAAAUUAGUAAUUUGUCUCAUGUUAUGAACAGUACCGACAUCAUAAACAAGAAAAGAAAAAAGAAACGGAGGGAGUAUCGAUUUUCUGUUGGCUCAGUUGGAAGGGAGAAGAAGAGGAGAGGAGAGGUAGAGCUGACAAUUUCGGGUUUCGGAUCGGGUUCGGGUCGGGUUGACUGUUGUGGGUCAAAAAUUUUACUCAAUCCGAACCCGAUCUGAAAUUUUAAUGGGUCAGAAUACCCAACCCCAACCCGAACCCGACCCGCACUACCCGCGAGUAACCCGAACUCGAUCCGAAAAAUAAUAUUAAUUUAUAAAUAUAUUUUAUAAAUAAUAAAUAAUUAUUAUUUUAAUUGAAAUAAAUUAAUUUUUAUUAAAUUAAAUAAUUUUUUAUUAAAUUUAACAGAUAAAUAUUAUAAAAAUAAUAUAAAUAUAUAUAAUAUUUAAUUAUAUAUUACUUAUCGGGUAAUUUCGGGUCAAUUUCGGGUAACCCGAAUUCGACCCGUUUUUUCUGGGUUGAUUUUGGGUCAACCCGAAUUCGACCCGAACCCGAAAAACUCCAACCUGAAUUCGUAUUUUACGAGUCAAAUUCGUGUCGGGUUGUCGGGUCGGGUCCAAUAUUGUCACACCUACCUCCUAAGGAGAGGGGGGCGGAAGGCUGUUGGUCGAAGGAGACAGGAGGUGAUUGAAAUCGACGAAGGGGAACGAAGGUAAGAUAAUUAAUAGCGGUGAAAUAUUUUUAAUAUACAAUGUCCCAGUUGAAAGUUAUAUCGAAUUAAAUAAUUCGUCUGAAAUAUUUUUUGGAUUGACGGCCCAAAUAAAUAAUUUACUAUAUUACAUUGAUGGUUUAGUUAUUUUUAUUUUUUUUGACAAAUGCAAGAAGAUUUCAUUAACUUGAAUAUAAUACAGUCGGGACAAAUCCCCAACUGCCGAUACAACCAGGUGGUAAAACAAAUAACAUACUAAAAACAAUUAGAUGAUUUGUUUCCUGAUCGUUUAACACAUAGAAUUUAAAAAUUCUUGAAACUAAAAACGAAAUCAAAGACAUCCCAAGUGAUCCAAACUGCACCAACAUCUCUCGAAAUAGUACCAUCGCAAUUGACCAUAUCACGUAAAACCCAUUGUUAGCCCAAUGUUCAGAAACACCAAUCGCAUGAAUUGAGAUUGGAGAAACGGCACCACAGCUAUCUACGUGCCGGACACCAGCUAUAGACAUGCCGAAGGCACCCCAGCUAUCUACAUGCCGGAUACCAGCUAUAGACAUGCCGAAAGUGUAACCCCGUGAAGAAUGAACAAUCUUUUAUUGUGAAAGGUGAGCUCUUACAAUAAUCACCACCGUCUCAGAAUCAAUACAGUCUUUGCAGAUCACCAAAAAUAUCAAUAAACUCGUUCUCAAUAUAUCCAACAUCAAAUGAACCCAAUCACAAUUAGACAAAAACAUAACAAAACACUCCAAAAGGAGAGACAAGACACACACUCCAAGAGGAGAGACACACAAACACCCAAAAGAUUAGGUUUUAUUGAAAGGAAAUUAACGAGAAUAAAGGAAAAAUGAAGGGGUUGGGGCUUUCCACCGGAGAAAACCAGUGGAAGCCCCUUAAUUUACUUGAAAAUGCACAAACCCUAGAUGAGAGGGAGAGAGGAGGGAGGCGGCUAAACCCUAGAUGGUUUAGUUAUUUAAUCACAUGGAUAGACAUUCAAAGUGCACGUUAGCGUUGAAGAUAAGUUUGCAUUGAGCAGAUUGCAGAUUAGUUGAACUUGAUUUUGGGUAUUUAGAUUCUGCAGCGUGGCAUUCGAGGAACUUAAUUUAAUGGUGUAGAUUUGUCGACACAAUUCACAGGCUCAACUAAUACUCCCUCCGUCCCACCGGGUUGUUAACGUUCACUGUUUGCACGCAUUUUGAGGCUUUUAUAAAGUAUAGUUCUAUAAUGUUUUUUAAUUUAUUUUUUUUCUGAAUAAAAGUUUAAACAUCAAACUUUUAUUCAGAAUUUUUUUUAUAAAAAAAAACCUCAUACAACUAUAUUUUAUAGAAGUCUUAAAAAGCGUGUCAUGUUAACAAUUCAACGGGACGGAGGGAGUACUAAACAUAAGAUAUUGGCAAAUGGCAAGGUAGGUAACAAUAAUAGUGGUGAGAGCGGUGCAAUUUUAAUUUGAUAAAGCAAAGAGAAAAAUUCAUCUUAAUCGAAAUUUAUUUUUCUUUCAAAAGUAACACCAAAAUAUUUAUCUUUAAGAAUAAUUUAGAUUUUGUUUUCUAUCAUUUUCUGUUUUCUGUAUUCAGAACUAACUAUUUAUUAUUUUUAUAUUUAAAGACUGUUAUCUUAGUAUAUAUAUUCUUAAAAAAUUUUAGAAAUAAAAUCAAAUAUUAAAAUAUCUUUUAAAAUUAUUCUUUUGUCUUUUCAAAAAAAUAAUUUAAUUACGAAAUCAAAUAAUUAAUAUACUAAUAUAUGUUUUUCUAUAACUAAAUUAAUAUCAAAAUUUUAGUGAAUAUUUAAUUUUUGAAAAAAAGAACGAGCAUAAAGUGAGCCCUCAAGGUUGGUUGGAAAUCAAAACAGAGUUUUCCCAAUGCUAGGCUUCUAUGCUUGACAAGGUGACGACGUGACGCUCGCACAUAUGAAAGUUUUCUAUUUCGCCGAAUUGUACAAUUAAGUUAACCAAUUUUAAUUAAGUUAACAAUUUUACUAAACACUAGCUUAUAGCCCGUGCAAGACACAAGAGCUUUUUAAUUAUUUAUAAAUUUUUUAAAUAUAUUUUAAAUGGUGCGAAAAAAAUUAAUUUAUAAAUAAUAAAUCAAAAUUUUCAAUAAAAUAAAUUUUGAAAUUAUGAUUUGUUUAUAAGUUAGAACUGUUGUAAAUACAUCAUCACAACCAUUAAUGACUUCAAAUAAACUAUUGUAAUCAAGUCAUUCCUUGUCUCGUAUGUAUCAUGUCAAAGGUAUUAAAUUCUUUCUAUCAAAUUGUAAUAAAAUUUUGAGUUGAAUAUGUGAGGCCAACUUCUAUUAGAUUAUAUUUAUAAAUAUAUUUUAUAUUAAAAUUAUUAUAAUGUGAUUUAAAUAUUUUUCUAAAUUAUGGUUCUAGAUUAAAACUGAUAAAUAUAAUUUGUUUUGAAUUAAGAAAAGGAAUCAUAAACAUGCAAUAAGAAGGUUGUUUUGGAUUAAGAAAAAGUUUUUGUAUUCGUUCCUCACAUAAACCCGACUUAUUAGUUUUAAAAUAUAUAUUUUAUAAAAAAUUAUGACGGUGCGAUUUAUAUAUAUAUAUAUAUAUAUUAUAUAGGCUCAUGAUCAAAUAGAAACCACUUUUAAAAUAAAAACUAGAAACCAAUACAAGUUAGUGAUAUUCGCAGUACAAUUUAAUGAUAUUCUCUUUAGGAUUUAGUGAUCUGUGUUGCAAGAAUUAGUGAAAACUUGCAGAACAGCCCGGAAUCUCCAUAUAUGUUCCAAAAACUGCUCAAAUCUCCAGAUCUGUUCACGUUUUCGAUUCAGAUGGUAGUGACGGUGGUGGAGAUGGUGGAGGUGAAGGUGGAGAUGGAGGAAGGAUGAUUGUAGCGAAAGUGUGGGUGGCUUGAAGUAGGUGGUUGGAGCUUUGCCGGAAUAGUGGCGGCUCCGCCGCGUUUUGAAGUUGAGCCGAGGUGGAAAAAGAAGUAUGAACGGGGCUGAAGAAGGUUGAAGCAGCGACCAAGACGGGGUUGGUGAAGAUGGAGGUGGAGAUUGUGUUGUCAGAGAAAUAAUGUAGGUGGAGAUGGAGGGGGCGGGCGGCAUAGAGGUGGUGGUGGUUAUAGAGGAGGUGAGACGGAGGUGGUGGCAGUGGCGGAUGUGGAGGUGGGGUUGGUGAAGAUGGAGAUGGAGAUGGGGUUGUUUAAGAAUUUGGUGGUAUCUGUUUUAGGAUUUAGUGAUAUUUCAGUUUGGUUUUUAGUUUCUAGACUAAAGAGGUUUCUAUUGGAGUAAAACUCUCUCUCUCUCUCUAUAUAUAUAUAUAGGGUCUUACUCUGGUACAAACCACCUUAGCGUACAAACUACAAACUAAAAUUAAAAAGUCUCUAAAUCAAAUUGAAAUAUAGCACAUAUGGUAUCUUAAUUUAACGGUGCUUAUUUGUUCAAUAUACGAUCCAACGGAUGAUAAGCUUUUGGACCAUGGAACCAUGCGACCAAAUUAUCUCCCUUACGCUUAUUAUAUAUAAGUAUAUAAUAUGCAAUGUUAUGCAAUUAAGUUAACAUGUUUCAUGUGUUUAUUGUACUAGACGAAACUUGUAACACCUUUUUUUAUAAUCCUAAAUUUUAAAAAAAAUUAAUCAUCACAUUUUUUUAUAGAUAUGUAAUUUUUAAUUUUUAUUUAAUAUUAUUUUUUAAAUAUCCGAAUUAGACCCGAACCCUAACCGAAACCCGAAAAAACCCUACGAAUCGGAUCUGGAUCUUCAUUUUCCAGAUCCGGACCCGGACCGGAACUGACCCGAAAUAUAAUAGAUCGGGUCGGAAUCUAAAGAAACCCGACCCGACCCGUUGCCAACCCUAUUUAAUGCGUAAUAUGAAUUCAAGAUGUGCGUUUGAUAUUGCAGCUUAAUUAAUUUGCUAACAAUUAUAAUAUUAUAUUAUAAGAGUAGAGUUUGCUGUUUUGAGAGUCGACUUCCAAAAUUAGGGUUCUAAUUAGUCAUCACUUUUUUUCUCUUCCACCUUCAUCCUCUUUAUUAAUUAAUCAUCUUCCUUUUUUCAUCUUCCGUCUUCUAUCUUAUUUAUUGAUUUUAUUGAUAAAAUCAUGAUCUAACCCUUUUUGGGUGAGUCCUUGGUCAGUGCCUUGUCAUCAAGGUUGUUAGUCGUGCUCAUCUUUUUGGGAUGUUUGUGUUUGUUUUGAUAUUUUGGUGUGUUUUGUUAUGGGUUUCGAUAACGCUUGUAAAAAAAUUUUACAUGGUACUUUGGGUGAUCCGUAAUGCUUGUAUCAAAUAUGGCACGGUGGUGAAUAUCGUGAGAGCUCAUCUUUCAAGAUAAAAAAUUGUUCAUGUUUUAAGGUCAUUUAUUGAUUCAAUAUCAGUUAAUGUAACCGAUAAUUUUGAAUAUUACACUACAGAUACAGAUACUGUUACGUCCCUAGCUGAUGUAAGCUCAAUAUUCGAUUGUAUAUUUAGAUAUUCAAAUAUUUUAGUUAUGAUAAAAUAGAACUCUACAGUUCUGAGGGGUAGUUAGUCUCUGGAGCGGGACGGGUCGUAAUCAGAAUCGAGUUUAAGGUAUUAUUUUUGAUAUGAAUAUGUUUAGUCGAGUGUUGUAACUUGUGAUGAAUGUGUACUUUCAAAUAUUAUUUUGUUAUUGAUUCAAUUAUGUAUUUUUAGAUGAAAAAGCAAAUACUUUUAUUAUUAUUACCAACAUUUAUUUGUACAUAUGAAUAUUAUUUUUAUUAUUAAUAUUUUUCGAUGAAUAAAAAAAAUCAUUAAUAAUGAUACUCAUACCCACAUCUCACCCUAUGUUUCGAGAAAAGUUCUAACCAAACACUAGGGGUGUAUUUAACUAGGAUUUCAAUGAAUUGUUUUUAAUUUGUGAAUUUCACUGAAUUGUAUUUGAUUUUAAUCUGGUGCGGAUUCUUAAUAAAAUAUCGUAGAAUUGACAUAGAUUUUUUAGGAUCUAAGUAUAAUGUUUCGAAAUCUUAUGAAUUUUGGCUAGAUUUCAAAAAACUUAUAAUACAAUGAACAAUCCUGCAAAAUUCAUCAAUAUAUAUAUAUAAAGGAGGAUGCGAGCAUCUCUAGAAUUGUUCGAUUCAGUCUUCUGAUUUUUCUUAAAUUUCAGAGAGAAAAUAUAAUUAUAAUUCAGAAAAUUAGGUUCAAGAAUUCUAAAGGUAAUAUGACUCUUUUCUUAUUAAAUUCUAAAGGUAAUACUCUAGAAUCUAGAAAAAGAGUUCUAAAAGUAAUACAAUUCUUAUUGUUAAUUGUAUAUUAAUAUAGAAAUUAUUAAAAAAUUACAAUUCUAAAAAAUCUAGAAAUCCAUUUAAUUUUUCCUAAUUUUUUUUUUGUAAAUUAAUAUUCAAAUUAUUAAAGAAGUACAGUUUUUAUUAUAAGUAAUCCACUAAAUAGAUCAUCGUACAUGUUACAAAAACUCAUGUACAUAAAUGCUACCGCAAUUUUAAUAGAGGAUGCAGGGCGGUGACGUGAUGUCUCUAGAAUUGUUUGAUUCGGUGUUAUAUUUUUUUUUAAAUUUUGAAUAGAAAAUAAAAUUAUAAUCUAAAAAUUAUGUUCAAGUAUUGUAUAGAUAAAAAGAUUGCAAAGAUAGUACAACUCUUUUAACUAUUUAGGAAUCAUAAAAAAGUAGAAUUAUAUUUAUUCAAAAUAACAAUUAUUGAACAAAUAUAAUUGAAAAAUACAAUUCUUAUUUUCAAAAGUUAUAAAAUUUAUAAUCUUAUUUUAUUAAUUUUUUUCAAAUUAUAUAUCUAAAAAUAAAAACCAGCAUCUUCCAUAAUCUUAAAUUGUCUAAACAUGUUUGUAGCACUAAAUUCACGUCGUUCCAUCGUGACUAAAAAGAUAACAUCUCUAUCAUGAAAACAUUCUUUUGAGAUCUCCGCAACCUCAUUCAAAUAAUUUUAUUGAAUUUUGAACAAUAAAAUUUUUUUCUUAUAAUUUCUUAAAUUUUGAAUUGAAAAUAUAAUUAUAAUUUAAAAAAUCAAGUUCAAGGAUUCCAAAAGAUAAUACAAUUUUUUUUUUGAUUCUAAAAGUAAUACAAUUCUUUUUUUAUUUAGGAAUCCUAAAAGGAAUAGGGUUAUAUUUAUAUAAAUUAACAAUCAUAGAUAAAAUACAAUUUAUAUUUAAUACUUGGAAAGUAAUACGUACAAUUUUUAUUUUCGAUUUAGUCUUAUAAUUUUCUUAAAUUUCGAGUAGAAAUAAGGAUUGUAAAGAUAAUAAUCAUUAAAAAACUAAUAGCAAAAAAUUAGAACCAUAAAAAAAUAAUAAAUUUUAACUAAUAAAUAGAAAUCAUAAAAUAAAAAUAAUUAAUAAAAUAAAAUAGGAUAUAUAAAAUAGGAAUCAUAUAUUGAUUUUAUGAUAAUGUAAAUGAUUCUUGAUUAGUAUUGUAUUUGACGGGCACGGGAGGCGGCCCAAACUAAUUAUUAUCUAAAGAAUAAUAAUUUUUCAAUUAGUAUUAUGUUUGAAGUGAAAGUCGCUAAAAUAAUUUUUUUAUCUAUGUUAUAAUAUUUUUUUUGUUAAAACAGGACCACGGCUCAAAAUAAUUUUUAUCUAAUUAUAAUAUUUAAUUUUAUCAUAAUUAGGAUAAUUUUUAUAUUUAUUAAACUAACGAUCAUAGAUAAAAUACAAUUUAUAUUUAAGAUUUGUAAGGUAAUAAGUACAAUUUUAGUUUCGAUUUGGUCUUAUAAUUUUGUUAAAUUUCAAGUAGAAAAUAAAGGAUUGUAAUGAUAAUAAUCAUUAAAAAAACUAAUAGCAAAAAAAUUAGAACAAUAAAAGAAUAAUAAUUUUUAAUUAAUAAAAAGUAAUCAUAAAAUGAAAAUAAUGAAUAAAAUAAAAUAGGAAUUAUAUAUUAUUUUUAUGAUAAUGUAAAUGAUUCUUGAUUAGUAUUGUGUUUGACGGGAACGGGAAGCGGCCUAACCUAAAUUUUAUCUAAAUAAUAAUAAUUUUUCUAUUAGUAUUGUGUUUGACGGAAAAGUGGCUGAAAUAAUUUUUUAUCUAUGUUAUAAUAUUUUUUUUUGUUAAAACCGGACCACGAUUCAAAAUAAUUUUUAUCCAGUUAUAGUCUUUAAUUUUAUCAUAAUUAGAAUAAUUUUUAUUAGUAUUGUGUUUGACAGUAAGGAGACUCAAACUAAUAUUCAAAUUAUAAUGUUUUGUUAUUAGUAUUGUGUUUGACAAGAGAGCGGCUCAAACUAAUUUUGAUCUAAAUUAUAAUAUUUAAUUUUAUCGUAAAAAUAUUAAUUAUGGAUUAAUAUUGUCUUUGACGGAAGGGCGGUUCAAACUAAUUUUGUUAUUAGUAUUGUGUUUGACUGGAUGACCACUUUAAUAAAUUUUUAUAGUAAUUAUAAUAUUUUUUUUAUUAGUGAUAUGUUUAACCGGAAGAUGACUCAAAAUAAUUUUCAUGUUAUUAUAAUAUUAAUUCAUAUUAAAAUUUAUACAAAAUUUAUAACGCCGCCGCGAAGCGCGGCUUUAUUCGCUAGUUAUUUUAUGAAGUUCAAAAAAUCUAUAAGUAUUUGAAUACUAUCAAAUUUUAAUGGAAUUUAAACAAUCCCAAUAGAAUACUAUUGGAUUUUAAAACAUAAUUUAAAAUCCUAAUUGAAUACUACAAUAUUUUGUAGAAUAAUUUUAAAUCCCAACUGAAUAUUACAAAAUUCUAUUAUAUUUUUUUAAAUCCGAGUUGAAUAUCCUCGAAUUUUAUGAAUGAAUUUUUUUCUUCUUAAAUUCUCAAUUAAAUACAUCCCGUAGAUAUGAUUUCUUUGAUUUCAUAUUCAUUUUUUACUUCCGAUACCAACCAACCAAAUCACCCCAAUAUAUGUUUUAAAAUAUUUAUUAUAAAAAAGGAUGCAUUUUUAUAACACAACAAAAAUACAAAAUUGAAACAAUAUUUUAUUUAGAUGGCAACAAGAAAGGUAUGAAUCUAAAUGAUUCCAAUUUAGCAAAACAUAAAAUCAAGAGUUAAUUAGUGCCCCGUUUGUAUAGUACUAAAAUUAAAAAUAACUAAAAGAAUCUCAAAAAGGGAACGAUAUCCAAACCCAUUAAAACAGCGUAUCCUUGAAAUAAAACCCUAACACAGUCCUGUAAGAACAAUCACCUCUAACUCCAUCUCUACCGUCCAUAUUAUCAAUCCAACGGUCCAGAUCUCUUCUCAGAUCACGCUUAUCAGUCUCUGUCCUGAGCUCACUCCUCUUUUUCACACACACUCGCACACUCUUAACUCUUUUCUCUAUAUAAAAAUGUCAUCUUCAGUCGCCGAUCAUCGAGUAUCCUCAUCGCAAAAUUAAUGAUAUUACACACAAAAUCAGCUGUAUCUAUAUGUUUAUGACACAUUGUAUCGAUUCAUGUAUUUUGAUCGGUGAACUAAGUGAUUAAAGCUUAAAGUUUUGAUUUUGAUCGGUGAAUUAAGUGAUUUGAGGUUAAAGUUUUGAUUUUGAUCGGUGAAUCAAGUGAUUUGAGGUUAAAGUUUCGAUCUUUGAUCGAUUUCUGUUAAAUUUGAGGUGUUUGUGUUUGGGUUUAGGUGAAAUGAUUACGGAUAGUUAUUCGAAGAUGAUGUCGGAUAUCGGAAUGCGAUCGAUGAUGCAGAAUGAGGAUUUAGGGUUUAUGUUGAGGAAUCAGGAGAUUAGUGAUAGGGAAAGNNNNNNNNNNNNNNNNNNNNNNNNNNNNNNNNNNNNNNNNNNNNNNNNNNNNNNNNNNNNNNNNNNNNNNNNNNNNNNNNNNNNNNNNNNNNNNNNNNNNNNNNNNNNNNNNNNNNNNNNNNNNNNNNNNNNNNNNNNNNNNNNNNNNNNNNNNNNNNNNNNNNNNNNNNNNNNNNNNNNNNNNNGGGAAAGAGAUAGAGAGAUAGAUUUGAGUAUGUAUCGAAGCGGUUCAGCUCCGCCGACGGUCGAAGGAUCGUUGAAUGCUGUAGGUGGAUUGUUGAGUGGUGGCGGCAGUGGUGUUAGUGAGGAGGAAAUUAGGUCUGAUCCGGCUUACAUUUCGUAUUAUUAUGCGAAUGUGAAUAUGAACCCUAGGUUGCCGCCGCCUUUGUUGUCGAAAGAGGAUGGGAGGUUUGCGCAGCGGAUGCAGGGGGCUGGGAGUUCAGCUGCUAUAGGUGAUAGGAGGAAGAUUGGGAGGGAGGAUGGUGGUGAUGGGAGUAGGUCGUUGUUUUCGGUGCAGAUGGAGAAAGGACAGCAGCAAGGGAGUAAUGGAGAGUGGAGUGGUGAUGGACUUAUCGGAUUGCCUGGUUUGGGAUUAGGUGGCCGGCAGAAGAGUAUUGCUGAACUUAUUCAGGUGAAUUUAGUUGGUAGUAAUGAAUUCUUUUAUUUGUGAUUUGUUUCGUUAUGUUUAUUUAUGUUAUACACUGUUAUCGAUUUGUAACGUUGCUGAUUGUUUGCGUGUUGGAUUGAAUUUAUUACUAAGCAGUGUUGAUGUAUUUUGGAUCUGUCAUACAUUAUGGUUUUGUUCUUCAGCAGGAAAGUGUGGACUGUUAAGUUCAUCUUCCUUUAAGUUAUUACUUACACAUAUAACAUAUGUAUAUAUUAUUUUGAUUGAGAUUAAAAGGAAUAUUCUUUACUGCUACUAAUGUGAUCUUUUCCUGAUUUUCUUAAAUAACCUGUUAUAGAUGUUUUUGAUUCAAAUGUUCAUCAUUGAUGGUUGAUCUUGUUUAUUUUAAUUGUUACUUGUUAGUUUGAAUUUAAUACUUAGCUUUGUUCAUACUUUCGCUACAUAUUGAGUAUAUCAAAUCCAUGAUAUGUUAUGUGCGAGUUUUGUUUGUGCUUAGCGGAAUAGUGUGGUUUUUUGAGUUCCUUUUCUCUCAAUUACUACUUACUAGUUUCUUAAUGUAACAUUUUUUAUGUAAAGGUAUAUUUGAGAUUAAAAAAAAUUAAUUUUCCAUGACCGAGUUUUUACAAAUUCAGUACUAAGACUCUAACUGGUCGUACUACACAAUUAAUAUAUUACUAUCUAAUUAUAUUCAUUGUCAGGUUGUGGAUGUUGCAUAGAUUUUGGGGCCUAUAGGGUGGCUGUUUAUAUUGUUUUCUCCUAUCCCUUUAGUUAAACAUAAACUUUGAAUCAGUUGGGAUGAUUUAGUUAAUCAGAUAUGGGACUAAUUAAACUUCAGUCCAAAAUUGUUUAUCUGUUUUUGCUGUAGAAACCAUGGAUUGAAUUAUUGUUUCUUGUAAAUUCUGUUUGACAACUCCUCUUUCUACCACUCUCCAUUUUUGUUAUUUCAUAUUAAAAAGUUGUUUGUCAUAUGCUUUUAUGGGAUGCUUUACUUCUCUUUUGUCUCUCCAUAACAUCUUUACUUUCACCACCCUUGAAAUUAACAUGCUCUUCCAUUCACAAGUUUAAAAUCACUACAGUUUGCAUAUUAUUAUAUACUUGAGGUUCCUUUAAUCAAGAGGUUAAAUCUUCAUGCAGGAUGAUACUACUCAUCAGACAUCUGCUUCGGGGCACCCUUCUCGUCCAACAAGCCGUAAUGCUUUUGACAAUGGUGUUGAACCUUCUGAAUCUCACUUUGCACAGUUUAAGCAGGACUUGGCUUCACUGGAUGCUGUGCAUGCUUCUGCAAACAUUCAAGGCCUGUCUUCUACUCAGAAUGUUAAUUCCUCGGUUUCACAUACUUAUGCUGCUGCAUUAGGUGCUUCCUUGUCAAGAAGUACGACUCCAGAUCCGCAGCUUUUAGCUAGAGCUCCUAGUCCUCGAAUCCCUUCUGCUAGAGGAGGCAGAAGCUCUCUGGAUUUACAAAAUGUUAAUGGGUCAAUUUCAUUCAAUGGUGCAUCUGGGCGUGUGAGUCAGCAAGCAGAUCUGGUUGCUGCUUUGUCAGAAAUAACUCUAUCAAACAACCUUCUGGAUGAAGAGAACCAUGCCAGGUCUAGAAUUCAGCAAGAGAUCGAUGACCAUCAAAAUUUAUUCCAUCUGCAGGGUGAUCAGUACAAUAAUAAACAACAUCCAUACUUAAACAGGUCCGAACCUGGGCAUUUGCAAUCUAUAUCCCAGUCAGGCAAAGGAUCUUAUGGCUAUGGGGUAAGGGCGGAACUGAACAACUCUUCUUUAUUAUCUGAUGUGCAAGUCAAUCUUCACAAGCCUUCGCUGGCAUCUGCAAACUCUUACUUGAAAGGGCCAUCCACACCAACACACAAUAGUGGAGGAAGUUCACCUUCUCAAUAUCGUAAUGUUGGUAGUCCGAAUUCAUCAUUUUUAAACUAUGGUCUAAAUGGGCACAACAUCAAUCCUGGAUCGCCGUCCAUGCUUGGAAAUCAGUUUGCAAGUGGAAGUUUGCCACCUUUGUUCGAAAAUGUUGCAGCUGCUACAGCUAUGGGGGACUCCAGAAGAAUGGGUGGCUUGGCCCUGGGGCCCAAUUUAAUAGCUGCGGCAGCAGAGUUGCAGAACCUCAGCAGAGCUGGAAAUCAAAAUGCAUUGAAUGGUCUUCAGGUUCCACUUGUAGACCCAUUAUAUCUUCAGUACUUGCAAUCAAAUGAGUUUGCUGCUGGCGAGGGUUUGAAUAAUUACAUGGAUCUUGCUGGAAUCCAGAAAGCCUACUUAGGGGGUGUCCUUUCACCCCCCAAAUCACAAUAUGGUCUUCCUUACCUCGGAAGUCCAUCCAGUCUGACUCAUGGUUACUAUGGUAACCAAGCAUAUGGACUCGGAAUGUCAUAUCCUGGCAGCCCAUUAGGUGGCUCCCUUCUACCAAACUCUCCCUUCGGACCAGGUAGUCCUAUCAGACAUGGCGACAGGAGCCUUCGCUUUCCCUCAGGAAUAAGAAACUUUGGUGGGGGUGUAAUGGGACCGUGGCACCCCGAAGCUGGUGGUAUGUUAGAUGAAACUUUUGCAUCCUCUCUCCUGGAUGAGUUCAAGAACAACAAGGCUAGGUGUUUUGAGCUUUCGGAAAUUGCCGGGCAUGUUGUGGAAUUCAGGUAUAUCUCAUUGUAUGCUUUGAAGGUGAUGCAAUUGUAUAUAUGUAUAUUUAUGCUUUCUUCAGAGGGUCAUUGGUUCUUAAAAUUGUCUGAGCAGUGCGGAUCAGUAUGGGAGUCGCUUCAUACAACAGAAACUUGAAACUGCCACAAGUGAGGAGAAGAACAUGGUUUUUGAUGAAAUCACGCCACAAGCACUUUCACUGAUGACUGAUGUGUUUGGCAAUUAUGUCAUUCAGAAGGUAACUUGCUUGCAUAGUAAUUUGCAAGUAUUUUUUUUCUUCGUUUAGUUAAUUUUUUAUGUUUCCUUAAUAAUGUACCUAAAACAAUCAUCAUUAAGUUUCAGCCUUAGUUGCAAUUUUCUCCUUUUUUGAUCUAGUUUUUCGAACAUGGAACUGCAACACAAAUAAGAGAACUGGCUGAUCAACUCAAUGGGCAUGUUUUGAACCUCAGCCUUCAAAUGUAUGGUUGCCGAGUGAUUCAGAAGGUAAAUAUACUUUGCAACGUAAUCAACAUUGGUCUAAUAUAUGUUUCAUUUUGGGACGUGGCUCUUGGGUUUCAUAUCAUUAUCUGCUAGCCUUUUUCAUACACUAAAUACAGCAGAAUGCAUAGGAAUUCAGAUACAUAGCAUAUGGUGAUAAUCCUGAGAGGAAUUUCAUCCUCUCUAAUAUUUAGUGGAUUGGUUUUAUGUAUUUCAUUGAAAAUAUUACAAAACUAUAUCUCAACUGCAGACUAUAUUAUUUACUUGCUAAGCUUCUAAGAUUUAUGAGCUUAGUAGAAAGGGGUGACUUUUAAUAUACUUUUAGGAGGUCUUUGCAGAAGGAAACUAACCAGUUAACUUCUAUGUCAAAGAUAUGUAAUCUAUAAGCAGAGAUAUAACUAUAUCUACCACUUGCAAUAGUUGGAUUAUCAUCACUCAUGUCGAAGGUUCUGAAUACUGUUUUUUGUGAAAAAUGUUCACUAUGCUUAAACUUUUGUUUUGGUUUUAAUUUGUCAAUAGUUUUUCUGCUAUGUGUGUAACCUUGCUGUAUUUAUCCAGGCCAUUGAAGUUGUUGAUCUGGACCAGCAAACUAAAAUGGUUGCAGAACUUGAUGGCCACAUCAUGCGCUGUGUACGAGAUCAGAAUGGAAAUCAUGUUAUUCAGAAAUGUAUUGAAUGCAUCCCUGAAGAUGCAAUUCAGUUUAUCAUUUCUAUAUUUUAUGAUCAAGUGGUGACAUUGUCCACCCAUCCUUAUGGUUGCCGUGUAAUACAGGUAUUUAAGCAAAACUUAUCAUAGCCACCUUUUUCAUCAACUUUGAAAUGCUUGAAACAUGCAAAUAUGUGUAUAAGUGUAUUUGACUGUGUAUAUGUUUAUUUUCAUGUGACAGAGGGUUCUGGAGCAUUGCAGUGACCCAAAAACUCAACAGGUAGUGAUGGACGAAAUUAUGCGGUCUGUCUGCAUGCUGGCUCAAGAUCAGUAUGGAAAUUACGUUGUUCAGGUUUGUAAGCUUUUCAAUAAACAUUCCUUUUUCUUUCAGUUAUUAUUAUUAUUAAUAUAUUUCUAAAUGAUAUUGUAAUCUUCGUAUUUUAAAUUUCAAAUUGGCUAUAUGGAGUUCUUUUAAGAAAGAAAGUAUGAGUAUGCAAAUUCUUGUUCACUCUACUAGAUGCUAGCAUAUUUAGUCAACUUCUUCCAGCUCUUGUUUUUGUGGUGCAUAUGCAAACCACUCGAAUUAGUUUUAUUGCUGCAAAAUAUGUACAGUAAUAUUUACAAAGCAGUAUUCUACUACAAUGAUUCUAUUGACUAAAAAGUACCGUAGUUAGUCUUAUGUUCCUCCCUUUACUUCUUGUGAUUGCCCUUUAAACUAGGUAUCUGGAUUUGUGUUGUCUGCACAUUCUACUUUAGUAUUUCGGUUGUUGGCAAUGUUUUAUUAGAUUUGUUUAUCCAUGGAACUUGCAGUAUUUCCGUAGUUAGUCUUAUGGAGCACCUUUCCUUGUUGAUGGUUUUCUAUUUUGCAGCGUAUGGUUAGUGAUGUAUAUUUGUUUCUCAAAGUAGUGAGUCAUAAGAUUUCUUUGUCCCAAGUCACGUAUGCUUCUGGUUCAAUACUAUACUGGCGUUUAGCAGCUUGAUUGUUCAUCUUUGGCUGCUACGACAUGCAUGCAAGAUAUUACCACUGUAUUGCAUUGUUUUUGUUUCAAUUUGUUUGUCAUAAAGCUGUGGUGCAACCUCGUCUGUAUGCUGACUAGUCUUUGUGAUUCCCUUGGCAGCAUGUGCUGGAGCAUGGGAAGCCUCAUGAACGUACUUGUAUAAUUAAUAAAUUGAUAGGCCAGAUAGUUCAGAUGAGCCAGCAGAAAUUUGCUUCCAAUGUUGUGGAAAAGUGUUUGACUUUUGGUACUCCAGAAGAGCGCCAAUCCCUAGUUGACGAGAUGCUGGGAACCACUGAUGAAAAUGAGCCUCUCCAGGUUCGAUCAGUUUCUCAUUUCACUUAUAUAGUUAAAGAAGCUCAAUCUAAGACUCGUUUUUUAAUCUAGUACACGUAACAUUCCUAUUUCCUGGUGAUCCUUUUCUACCUCUGGAAUUUUCUUUGACUUGGAAUAACAUAUCUACAGACUACAGUAAUUGAGUUAAUCUACCAGUUUCUGAAUUUUUUCGCAUGUACUGUAAAGCAUCUUUUUUGUGCUUCUGUUGUCGUGGUAUAUUCCUGGUUUAUUGUGUCAUUGAACUUGAUUUUGCAACAUUUAUAGAAAUGUAGCGACAUGCAAUUAAUUAAAGGAGUUUUUUUUUCGGGACAAACCAAUCAACUAAAGGAGUUGCUCUGCAUUUUUGUUCUUUUUACGUCAGUGCGAGGCAAUAUUCUACCGGCUCACCAAGUGAAGUUUAUAAAAUUUAUUGGAACCUGUAUCACUCUAGCUGAUGAUUUAUGUAUAGUGCACUAGAGAGAAGUUGGUUUUUUGUUGGGUCACUUGGAUGCUCCUUUUUCACAUGAUGUGCAAGUAUAUCUGUAUGAAGUGUAAAUUAAUGGUGUUUACAAUUUAAGGAACACUAUAAAAGUCAUAGGUGUCCUGGAAACGACUGUAAAGUGUAUUGUUCGUAUAUUAUGACAUUUAGAAUCAAGCUUAUUCAUAAUUUCGUACUAGGAACCCCAGUUUGGGGUUUGCACUGAGUGUCAUGCUUUCCCUUAUCACAAGUCCAUACAGGAGAAAUAAUUAAUCACAUUUACAGAACGAAAAGUGUAUCAUUUGUAUAUUAUGACAUUUAGAAUUAAGCUUAUUCAUUCUAGGAAACCCAGUUUGGAGUUUGCUAAACACCUUAGCACUGAGUGUCUUGCACUCGUGCUUUCCCUUAUCGCCAGUCCAUACAGGAGCAAUAAAAUAAUCCAUCACAUCUACAAACUAAAAAUAAGGAUGGCACUAUUCUCUGAAUCAUAUAUACAUAAAUAACUACAGGUAAUGUUUUUGUUUGAAGUAGAGCUAUAGUAUUGGCAAGCUCUCUCAUAGCUCCUGUUAUAUAAUGACUUUAGUUAUAUAUCUGAGAUCUAAUUAUGUUUGCCAUUUCUGACUUCAGGCAAUGAUGAAAGAUCAGUUUGCAAACUACGUUGUACAGAAAGUGCUGGAGACUUGUGAUGACCAGCAGCUUGAGCUUAUACUUAACCGUAUUAAGGUUCAUCUUAAUGCACUGAAAAAAUAUACAUACGGAAAACAUAUAGUUGCGCGUGUAGAGAAACUCGUUGCUGCUGGAGGUAUUUUAAAUAUCCCUUGAUCCUACUUUUACUUUUUAUACGUUUUUCUAUGAGUUGGUCUUAAUGAGCUGAAAUUAUUCAACUUGUCAUAUAUAACAAAAAUGUAAACUGUGCCUCGUAUCUUGAUCUUGUGUUAAUAAUUGCUUAUAAUCUGUAUAUACAGAAUUGUAUAAUUUUACAAAGUUAUGAAAUUUGAUAUAAUUAUCUCCCACUUAUUUACAAUUUGUCAUGCAUAAUGGUUGUAUAACAAUAUUUUGAUGGCUGAAUUGUGAGUGGUUUAUUGCAUCAUCAAUAGAGUACAAAGAAAUUUUUAGGGGUGAUUAUUAUCCAGAAUUUCUUGUUGUUGGUAAACUUGAGUCGGUUAUGUAUUUUACCCUUUCAUAUCUACUGCAAGACUUUUGACCCGUUUUAAAAUUUAAAAUCUUGCAGAAAGGAGAAUUGGCGUGCUGGCUUCAUAUUCUGCUGCUGCCGCCGCAGCCGCCGCAGCCGCUACCUAGCCUACAAAGAAGCUGUACAGCUAACUUGGUUUAAUAUAAUUGCCUUUCUAGUCUAUGUUUUCACGUUUAGCUGUGUAUUGGCUCAAUUUAUCUGUUUAUUAAGAUAAAUAAGAGCCAGUUGCAAAUAAAAUCUGUUCUUUGUAAAAUGUACAUUGUUAGUUUUGAGGAUAUACCUAGAAUCAGGGUGGCUUAGCUGAGGCUAAGAUGGUGAAACACACCCAAUGCCCCUGCAGAGGAGAUUUAAAAAAGGGUCACUGUACACAGUGGUGUAAGAAAGUGGGAGAAAGAUGUAGAAGUUUGUCAUCGUGACUGUACAAAUGUUGUUGGGUGCAUAGCAUAGCCUUUGAUGUUUAGAAGUGGCCAGAAUUUUUCCUUAAUAUAUGUAUGAAUUUGUUUAAGUUUCCCUUAAUUAUAGAACCUUUUCCGGUUUUCCCUGAAUGCCUUGAUAUUUCUGGCAAUUGCCUGCUUGGUUGAUUUACUGUCUAUGGUUUGUUUCAGAGCUUGUGUUUUAUUUCAAAUUUUGGAACUGAAUUCCAAAUUCCAUCAUUACAAGCAGCCUUAAGUUGUUUUUGUUUGUCGUUUUUAAAGUUGCUCAUGUCGGUGGAAAAGAAAGUUUCUUACAAAAUGAUGGAAAGGGACUAAUUUUAGGCAGCAGACUUGAUAUAAUUCAAAUUCUGGAGUACUACUCUAUGAUAUACAACUGUUUUCCUGAAUCCAAGAUUCAUAAAAGAGAUGCGCGGCAUAAUUUUCACAGAUGACUCAGAUUCAAAAUCGAGUCGACUCGAAUUCUUCGCAAGCGACUCGAACUCGGCUCGAAUAGGGGAUAUUUGUUUAUUUUAACGAUCAAACUCUACUCGUUAUUUAUGAUUUUUGACGAACUCAAGUUUGAACAAUAAGAAUUAUUUGUUUCUUUUAACUAUCAAACUCGACUCGUUUUUACUUCAACACGAUUCAAUUAUGAUUUUAGAAAUAAAUAAAUAAAAUGUCUCCCAAUAUCAUUUAGUAACACCUGAUAAUUUACCGUUUUUAAUUUGGGAAUAAAACGCUAGAUCGUGCAACGUUUGGUAAUUUAACCCCAACAAAACGCUACACGAAGGAGCGUUCUGUUAGGAUUUACCUAACGCUAGACGAUAUAGCGUCACAAAACGCUAGACGAUGUAGCGUUUUAUAUGAUUAUCUAAAACACACGAUGUAGUAUUAAUAACGGAUAUCUUGGAUGAUUUUUUCAGAUACAGAGAGGGAAAAACAUUGGCCCUGUUUGUUUCCGAGAAGCAGAAGCAGCUUCUGACUUUUGCUUCUCUUAAACCGUUUGUGUAAAUAAGUAGAAUCACUUUUAAGAAACUGAGAAUGCUAGCUUUUCUCCCGGAGCUUCUGUUUUUUUUCCAAACACUUUAUUAACUUAUUUACUUUUAACUUUUAAUCUGCCUCUAUAAUUUAAGUAAUGAAUCACUUUUUUUAAGUUUCCCCAAACAGCUCCAUUGUUUAACUAAAGAGGACCUUUAAUCCUUCAUGUAUCAUCGGAUGAAUCUUCACAAAUCAAAAGUAACAUAAACCCUAUACCACAUUUCUAAUUGCUACUGAUCUGCAAUGGCUGCUACCUCCUCGCUGAAGAAAAUGUGGGCUUCUUCAACCCUCCUCGCUAAAACCCAAUUCGCUUCUUCGCUAGCUGCCGCCUCUCCCUCUACACUCUUUACCACCAGCAAUCUCUCCCCCAUUCGCCGCGCCUUUCCUCUCUCAGGUUGUCAUCUACCUCUCUCUCUCUCUCAGUCUCUCUUCCUUCCUCUCCCUCUCUCUGUAUUUUCAUCUUCAGUUUGGUGCUAAUUAUUCCUAUACAUAUAUUUUUCACUCUUCAAGGUAUUGAAAUUACAUUUAGAUUUAAUCUGAUUUGUGCUCUUUUCAUUUGAUUGAUUGAAAAAGAUGUGUUUGAUCUGAUUUCUGCGCCGACCAAGAUCCGCCUUGCAUCACCAUUGUUCAAUGGAAUUGGUUCCAGUGUCAGGCCUGGCUGGGAGGCGGAUCGUAUUCGUAGCUAUAGUACUUUGAAUGGACUCGGCAAUCAGGAUAUGAUUCGACUCGCCAAAGAGGAGGAUGUUAAGGUUCCGGUUAAAAAGAAGAGUUUCACCAAAAUAUGCAUGGUUAUUAAAACUUUUGACAACAAAAAUGCGGAGGAACAAACUUAUCCAGCUCACCAGAAUAAAAUUAGAUUGCCAACAAAACGAUCCCUGUUUACUGUUUUGCGAUCGCCUCAUGUUGAUAAGAAGUCAAGAGAACAAUUUUUUUUGACAACAAAGAAACAGCAUCUGGUCAUACAAGCGGAAAGGCAUGAAUUGGCCAAGAAGUACUUUUGGUUGAAGCGCCACCGUAUAAUGGGAGCUCAAUUUGAAGUCAAGUUUUUUUGCAAGACCCGUUUUCAACUUGCAAGGGAAAGAGAUGGGUUAAGUGAUAGCAGGGAGAGCGAACCUGCUCCAGCCCUAGCUUCUAUUUGAAAUUGAAAGUGUUGGGACUUAGGAGAUAUGACUGUCGGAUGAAUUUGCUGGAGAAGUAGUAUAAACUUGAUGCACUUAAGGCGGGAGUGUUGCAGGUUGCGGUUCCUGAGUUGUAUGCAUGCCGCUUUUAAUUUUUGUUGCUAGUUUAUUGCUGUCUCCCUACAAUUUCUAAUGGUGGUUUGUCAACCUUUGUGUUGUUGUUGGUGUUUACUUUUCAGAGUCGCUUUCCUGUGAACACAAUUUUACUUGGCAAAAAAGAAGAAAAGAGGACUGAUGUUUUCCAUGUUUCUAUUGAUUUUAUAUAUAAUUUUCUAAUGUAGUUGGUCUCGGAGCAGUAGUGAUUGUGAUUUUAAGUUUUAACUGGUGAAAUGCAAUUGAAUCCUUUGAAAUGGUGAAAAUGUUGAUAUAGAUGUUACUAUGUGAGUUUAUUUGUGAGUUCAAAUCUUGUUACUUAUAAUCAAUGUUGUGUAUACUUUAUGGUUCUUUUAUCUUCUCUAGUCGGUUCAUAGAAUUCUGAUGAGAAAAGCAGAUUUUAUAGAUUGUCGAUGGAUGAUACUUGUUUGAUUUUAAGUCCAUGGGCCAUGGCAUAGAAGUGACUUACUAGAAGUAAAAGUGCUCUUUGAUGAGAACAUUCUAUGUCAUUUAUGAAUGUUGUGAAUAUACUGAUUUUGUUGAUGAUACUAACUAGUAUUACAUAUGUUUGAGUUCAUGAUCCUCUUGUCAUCUCACAUUACCUGUUUGAAGAGAUUUGGCGGGCUCCUAUUCCUUGAUUGUAGCCUCUUGGGUGAGUAUCUAUGUAAAUUAUAAUAUUUGAUGACUGAUUUAAUCUUUUUUGAUCUUUCCACCCUUCACUUUUAUGUUAUACACUACUUAAUAUGCCAUUCACUUUACCGUGUAUUCUAUGUAUAUUGAGUAUACUUUAUACUAGCUAUUGCUAUAAAAACAUUAAAUAGAAUAAUUGAAGCAAAUGCUUCCAGAAAUGCAUAAACUACUAUCGAUAAAACUAUCUAAUUCGUUAAUUUUGAGGUCCAAUGUCUGUUCUUACAACAUUUAGGAAGUUUAUAUAUGCGUAUCCAUAACAGCGAACAUGUCAGAAGCUAUUGGUUCUGAAUGUUAAACCAGUGAAACGUCAUCAGUUCAAAUUAUAUGCUUGCAGUUUCCCCCAGCUUUUUACAUAUGAAACUUUAUUAUCUGCAAAUAUAACUGAGAUAUAUGUAUGACUCAAUUUUCGUUUUCUAGUCUAACGUCAGCCACCAUAUCUGUUAUUGCAAUAACUAAAAGAAUAAAAUCAGGAAAAAAAGAAAAAGAAGAAGAGAUAUGCAUGUUAAAAGAGAGUACUACUGCAUAAUUUAUAAAAGUACAGCCGCCGAGGGAGACCUCGAAAUGUAGAGAAAACACACAUUGAAAAUGACUGUACUAGUGCAUUUUCCUACUCUUUUCAAAGUUGUUUAUUCAAACUUUUCCCUGGCUGGCGGGCUGGCGGGCGCUUUAAGCUUCACCACACUUCUAUCUACGAACAUGUUCAUAUCAGAUAUCCCUAUAAAUGUACAUGCGAGGUGUUCUAAGGAAAUACAGAGCAACUUCAACUAAACACACAACAAAAACCAAGAGUGAGGGAACAAUGGGUGCAGGUGGGCGAAUGUCGGAUCCUCCUACAGCCAAAAAAACUGAAACAGAAGCACUUCGACGCGCUCCUCAUGAGAAACCUCCUUUUACCAUUGGUGACCUCAAGAAAGCCAUUCCUGCCCAUUGCUUUGAAAAAUCACUCAUAACUUCUUUUCGUUACCUCAUUCAAGAUCUCCUCAUGGCCUAUGCCCUCUACUUUGUUGCUACUAAUUACAUUGACCAGUAUCUUCCCCAUCCAAUCAACUACUUGGGUUGGGCUGCUUACAUUGCUGUCCAGGGGUGUGUCUUGACGGGAGCUUGGGUUGUAGGCCAUGAAUGUGAUCAUGACGCCUUUAGCGAUUAUGGUUGGGUGAACGACCUUGUUGGCCUUAUUGUCCACUCUUCUCUCAUGGUCCCUUAUUUCUCUUGGAAAAUUAGCCACAGACGUCACCACGCCAACACCCAGUCGCUUGAGAAUGAUGAAGUUUAUGUUCCCAGAUUCAAGUCCAACAUCAGGAACUACUACAAAAUUCUCAACAACCCACCCGGUCGUGUACUUGUCUGGGUUACCACACUUCUCAUAGGUUUCCCUUUAUAUUUGAUGUUUAAUGUUUCUGGACACAAGUAUGAGAGGUGGACUUCCCACUAUGAUCCCCAUAGCCCACUUUACACAGAACGUGAGCGCAAGCAGAUCAUUGUGUCUGAUCUUGCCAUUCUUGCUGUUAUCUAUGGGCUGUACAAUCUAGUAUUAGCCAAAGGAUUUGUCUGGGUUUUCUGUGUUUAUGGAGGUCCAUUGCUCGUUGUCAACGGAUGGUUCACAUUGAUCACCAUCCUCAACCACACUCAUCCCUCUGUGCCUUACUAUGAUUCAACCGAAUUACUCCCUCCGUUUCUUUUUUCUUUUCUUGUUUAUGAUGUCGGUACUGUUCAUAACAUGAGACAAAUUACUAAUUUACAUCUAAUCUAUAAAACUAAAUAUAGUCAUGAGUGAUCUUGUUAGAUUCGUAUUCACGAGUACUUUAAUACGGUGAAAUUUUUAUAUUUAAUGCUACUACGAAAUGAAAGAUAUUAACGAUCAAAAAUGUGUGUUGGCAAACGUGAAAAGUACAAACAGGAAAAGUAUUUAGGGACGGAGGGAGUACUGAAUAUCCAAUCAACUUUUGUCAUCUAAGCAUUAAAGAACGAAUUUUGGAACGUGGUCCCUAGCAUUUCUCGUAUGGAUUUGUUUAAGAUUCCCUUAGAUAUAGAACCUUUUCCCUGAAUUUAUUAACUUUUGAAGUGAUAAAAAUUGGAAUUUGGUCAUCAUUCUCUUCUCUUGAAAUUCGAUUAAUCACUCCCUCUCUUCCUUUCUCUAUCACUGCCUACUCAACAGUUCCGAAAUUCUUGACAGUCAUUCCAAUUAAGUUUUUGCUCAUCUGAGACAUCAUUGCAUUGUCUAUAUCCUUGAAAGUCAUUAACUUCCAUGGAAUACAUCUUCUUCUCUGCUAGGAGAAGUGUGAAAAAUUCUGCUACAACAGCUUUCAUUCUGUGCAAAACCUUAUCUGACAUCCUAUGAUCUGUUACCUGAUAAACACAAUUUUGUUUUUUGUUAUAUUUUUUUAAAAGCACACACAUAUAAAGAAUCAUACCUGAAAAAGUCCCCACUCCUUGCAAGCAAAAUCAAGAAUUCUCCUUUGGCUUUCAUCUCAAUUUGCAAGCUUUGACAAAUUUAUGACAGGGAUUCGUCUGAAACUUGACUGGUCUCGAUGUGCAAAGGUCUGUCCUCGAGUUUCUUUAUGUACCUUUCGGGAACACUCUGAGAAUCAUUUCUUGCUAGUUCUUGAACACUUGGUACUGAUCAAGAACUUCCCAAACCUGACCCUUCACUGUCCUCCACAAUCUUACUUUUAGCCUCUGAACUCAUUUCAAGUUGUAGCUUUGCUUACCAGUGAUGAUACUCUUCUUUGAUAUACCCAUUAAAAGCAGUUCAAAUAUUGCUUUUGUUUGACAUGUCAAGUUUGCAAUUACAAAAUCAGCUAGUCAUCAAAUAUUGUAGUGUACUUCUCAUUUGACGCUAAAAAAACAAAUCAGACAAACAUAUCCGGUAUAUCCAACUUGAAAGCAACAAAAAUUACUACAAAACAUCUGAAAUCAAAUUACAAUAGAUAUUUUUAACAAUCUCAGUGACAUGUUUACAUCACUUAGGAGGACAAAAUGUAAUAACAUACCGGGAAGCCCUACAAGUCUUGAGCGCAGAGGAAUCAUCAAAAGCAUAACUAUAAGCCCUAGGGCACAUGGCUUUGAACAGAUGACCAAAAACACUAGGCUUACAAAUUUUCGGAUUAGCAAACUCCCCUGUACAGCAAUACCUAUCUGAUCUUGCAGCCAUGCAAGCACUCUUACAAGCCACCACUUUCCCAUCCUUCUUCACCACCAAAUUCGAAGGACAGAACACAUUCAAGUCCUUUGCGCAUGACACCAUGUCACAGCCUGCACCACCUUCCGGUCUCAUUGCCACUGGAACAUUAAAUCCAUCAACCAACGACACGUCGUAGUAAUGCAAAGCGGAUUCACAGGUUCCAAAUGUCAUUUCCACCAGAGUUGUUGGUGGAGUUCCUCCUGUUCCAUUGCAAUGCAGAAAACCUCCACAAUCUCCUGACUCACAGUAGCCUCUACCCGAGUUGUUGUCGAAGCAACAGCCUUGUCUAGCCCAUAUUCUCCCUGACCAUCUUUCGGGGACAUCAAUUAGUACUUUCUCGGUGCUGUAGAGGCGGAAACCUCCAUGGCUAGGCGUCUGGUGGCCCGUUGUCGCGAGGAUUCCAGGCCAUAUGGUGUCCUUGCAGUUGUUUAGUAUCUUGAGUUGAAUCCCAUCUGUAAAAACACAUCAAUAAGUAGUUACAUUGCAAGCAAAUCUUAUCAAAUAGCAUUAAAAGAAGCGGAAUAGAGAUUGAACUUACUAGUAAAACAGAGAGUUAUGAAGAAGAAGCAGAGGAAGAAAAGAGUGGAGGGAGACAUUGUUGAGGACAUGAAGAAAGUGCAGACAGAGAUAAUGACUUGGUGGUGGUUUUAUAACUGCUCAAUGCUCGUCACUGCAUGACACCAUGACUCCAGGAGUAGCGGUUUAAGAAAUGGUGCAUGCUAUGCCUUUUUACGAAUAUAACCAUAUAAAAUAUUAAUAAAAUUAUAUGGUAUACUGUGUACACAUUUAAAUGUGGGGUAUUGGAUUCACAUAUUUCAAAGUUAAAUAAAAUAUAAUUUAAUGGUUACAAUUUAAUUUUUUGAUAACAUUUUUUAAACAUGUGACAAUCUGAAUACCCCGUUAACUGAUGUUUGUCUUUUUGACACGCAUAUUAAGGUGUAAAAAAAAUAAUAUCUACACUCAAUAAAAAUAUUCAAUUCUCAUAUCAAAUAAAAGUUUAGUAUCUACUUUUAUUUGAUAUAAAUUUUGCAAAAAAUAAUUAUAUUUGGAUCUGAUUUUUUUAACACCUUAAAAUACAUGUAAACCGCACACGCACACUGAGUUUACUUACAAUUACGGUUGAAAUUUCACAAUGUUUGCUGAAACUUAAAAAGUUAUUUGGCUAAAAGUUCGAAUUUGAUAUCCAUUGGAGGCGAUUUUGCUGUUUUAUUAACACCAGUGUCAAGUACAGGAUCCUCCUGACAUGCUAAAGGGAAGAUCCUCCUGAUACCAAUAGAGCCCUGUUAGGUUUUCAUUAUCCACUAUAACACAUAAGCUUAUGUAUUAAACUCUUCUCCUCGUACUUUGAAAAAACUAGUAACUUAACAUGGUACCAUAACUAAUCCGACCUGCGAUUUUGAGUGAAAUUUGAAAUAUAGAUAUUCAUGAACAAACCCGAUACUUCAUUUACAACUCCACUCACUCUAGUACAUGAUUACAACUUUAAAGUGAGGAACAGAGGACAACAUAUUAACAAAUAAGCAUUAAGUAGAGGUUAACACAAUCCAGCAACUGUUCUCAUCUCAGUUUCUUUAGAGUCUGACAGAAUAUUCCAGUCUCUUACUACAUGAAUGUCAGAAACAAGAGAAAUGGAUCUCAACUGGGAGGGAUGCUACUAGGGGUGUAAUCGAGCCGAGCCGAGUCGAACACUGUCAGGCUUGGCUCGAGCUCGAUUGAAAACUUCGGGGCUCGAGCUCAUUAACAUGUGCUACUACUCGGUGCUUCCUGCUGAGUAGCUGAAAAUUAGAGAUUUAAUCCUUGUAUCUUCACAUGGAGGAAAGGGAAAAAGAAUCCUAAAAAAACUGACAAGACAGAAUAAAGAUACAUGGCAUACCCAAACUCACUAAUAUUUCAAUUACAUGCCCUGGAAAAACUUAAAAAUUAGGCUCCAACAGUACACUGCUGGAGUGCUGGUAACUCCUUAUUUAUGCGGGGGUAUGCUCGAUGCUGAUAUUCAUGACAUCAAAAAAUCAGCAACUAUAUCUGCUUCGAAUAAGUAUACUUCGGAAACAAAUUACACAAAGGAAUUGAGAUCCGAGCAUAUGAAGAACUUGAUGUUCAUCGAAGAACUGCACUAGUAAAACUUACAAAUCAUGAUGAGAAGUGUAAUCAUAAGUCAUAACAAUAUCUUCAUAUUUGAGACCUAAAAAUUCAAUCUUCCAUCACAAAAACUCUUGGUUGUAAAUUAUUUAUAGUAUGUGGUGGAUAUUAAAAGCUACCAAAGACUAAAAGUUAUCAUCAGGUAAGGGACCACAACUUCUCAGCAUCUGGUGUAUGUUUAUGUGGACAUAUGCAGAUCAUUAAAUUUCAAGAAAAUCUGGUAAAUAAGCUAGCUCUAUCUAUCUAAUUAUCUAUGCCUUCCCAUUGCAACACUAACAGAAAAGAAAACUUGAGUACUGUUUAUACAAAAAUUCGGCACUCAGGAGAUUUUAUGCAUGAUAUCUUAGAUUCUCAAGAAGAUUCUAGGAGUUUGCAUUCGAAGGCAAAUGAUGGUAAGAAACUGCAGGCUAAUUAAGAAAUAGCAAGAAGAGAGAAUGGUAGUCUAUGGUGUAUCAUCAUGCGAUUUCAGCAGAUGCUCAAUGCCAUGUUCUUACCAUAGAGUAAGCAGUGUCAAGUGUAGCUUGGAUUACAACAGCAGCAAGGAAAGAGUAGUAGUAAACUCAGUGAGAACCAGCAAUCGUGCAAUGACAAUUGGCUUAGUAGCAACAGCGGCGGCGGCAUCAAUGUUAAUGUCGGUGAUGGGAUCAAACGCUGUAAACAUUCAAAGCCAACUAGAUGAUGAGACUCUGUUAAACAUACCACAAAGUCUCUCUGGGGCGUGUGUGGAGAGUAAAGACUGCAAAAAGGCCAGGAUACAAAAACCCAAGUCGAGAAAAGCAGAGUCCUGCACUAGAAAGUGUGUUGCUACCUGCAUCCGUGGUGGCGAUGGUUCUCCUGGUGAAGGCCCUUUAAAUGUAAGGAAACCAUUAGUGGUUUUCAGGCCAGGAUUCCGGACUCGUCAGUAUUGUUUGGUGGAAUGCUCUGAUAUAUGUAACUUGAUCAAAGACGGAGAAGAUGGUCCCUGACUCAUCUUCAUACAAAAAACUUUCAUUAACAAUCUAUAGAUUUUGUUCCUGUUCUUUAUAGGAGCUGCUCCUUUUAUGUUUUUGGUCCAAUUAAACUGUACAAUGAAACAAUCACUGAGUCAAUUUUACUAAAUUCUUCCAAGCCUCUUUCAAGUUUACUAAUCUGAAUAACACAAUAACCAUUUUCAAUUUCAGUGACUAUGCCAGAAAAUGGAAUUAUAUUGUACAACAAGUUACAUGCUUUUUCAAUAGGGAUAAUAUAUUCAUACGUCCCUAAACUAAUCCACUUUUAUUCGAUAGGUCCCUAAACAAAAGAUUCCUCAAACCGGGUCAUUAAACUUUUCCAAACGCUGGAAUCUAGUCCUUCCGUUAAGUAGAUACUAACAGAGUUAGAAUCUUGCUGAUGUGGUGACACAUCACCCGCUGAAUCAUGCUGACAUGGCGACACAUCACCAGCUGAUUUGUACCUACAUUAAAAAAAGAAAAAUGAAAUUAAAAUGAAACUAAAGUUAAAAGGAUGAUAUAAAAAAACUCCUUCCUCCAUCUCUCCUCUCUCCCUCAUCUCCCUCACUAGCCACUGCCACCGCCUGGCCGGAGAAAUUUCCGGCGACCUCCCUCGUUGCUCUCUCUCUCUCCUGUACGCACACCUCACCUCCUCAAUCUCCUCCCCGCACCAAGCUCACCACCGCCGCCUAUCUCUCUCCCCUUCUGCCGCCGUGAGUCUCCGUCGCCGACGCGAGACUCCGGCCUCCUCCCCACAUUUUCAUGCCCUUCUCCUUUCACACACAACCAAUCAACCACAAUUAAUUUACAAAUUAAAAACCCCAAUUUCCACUUAUAAACCCUAACCCCGUUUUUGUUUUACAGAUUAUGGGGAAACAAGUUUUUGUAUACAUAAGAAAGGUGUGUGUAUUGAUAACCAAAACUUCAGUUCAGUAGAAGGGGGAAAAAAGUUAUCUCUCUCUGUGCUCAUCAACUUAUCUCAGACUCCUUGCCCUUUCAAAAAGUAUGAUGGGAGUGAUGGGAGUGAAGAUUACCAUAACAUUUUCUGUUUUAAGUAAGAAUGAACUUGAGUUGCUGUGCUUUACUAAUUGUACAAUUUCAUUGUUUUAAUGUCUGUAAGAAUCAGCAGGUGAAUUUCGUCAUGUCACCAUGAUUCAGCGGGUGAUGUGUCACCACAUCAGCAAGAUUCUAACUCUGUUAGUAUCUACUUAACGGAAGGACUAGAUUCCAGCAUUUGGAAAAGUUUAAUGACCCGGUUUGAGGAAUCUUUUGUUUAGGGACCUAUCGAAUAAAAGUGAAUUAGUUUAGGGGCGUAUGAAUAUAUUAUCCCUUUUCAAUACAUUAGAUUUUAAUUAUAAGAGGUAGCAAGGAUACAAUUGGACCAAUGUAUGCACGAAGAUAUCUGGCCAAAGAAUUUUAAGGUGUAGGUCAAGUCGACAAUGUUAUAAUGUGAACGACAUUAAUAAUACGAGGCAGUAAGGAUUCGAUUAGGACCAAAGUAUUAUAGAGUUUUUAGUCCUUGACGAUACUAGAUACAAAAUUAAGCAUCACGGCCGGGAGAAAACCUAGUAUUACAGGGAAAUGUAAAAUGUAUAAUGUACUCGAAUUCAAUUUCCGUCUGUCAUCCUCCUGUAUUGGAAGAUAAAAAAGAACCUCUCAAACCUAUUUCAAGUUUACUGAACUGACAAGGAUACAACAAACGUUUUUUCUGCUACUAUACAACAAAUUCAUUUUCAAGAGUUACACAAGAAAACGGAUCAUUUUCUUUUUAUUUUUUUUUUUUUUUUUUUUUUUGCUAAAUAUCAUUUUCAUUUUAUUUCUUGCAUACAAACAAAUUUAAACACAGACAAAAACAAAUAACAAGUAAAAAUUACGAGAGGUUCAUGUUUAAUACUUACCUGAUAAAUCUCUACAUUCAUCCAGACAUCAAUCAAGAUCUUAUUUGGCAAGAAGAAAAAAAACAACCUUGAAGAAUUCAAUCCACCGGACAAUCGAAGAUGACGGUUUAAUUUGCAAGCCUAAGCGGUCCAUCCAGGUCAAAACCGGAUCCGAAAUAGGCAACCGAAACUCCUGGUUCUCCAUCCCUCAAAACCGGCCCAACAAAAAAACUGACCACAUAUAGACCGGAACUUUAGGUAACCCGGAUCCAUUUUGGCUAUUCACCACUUGCCUUAACCGGUUUAUCCGGUAAUCCACCCGAUUCUUCUUCUCAAUUACAAUCCCUAACCCGGGUCUUUUAUAUCUCUAUACAACUACACACACAAAAUUCUCUCCCAAAAUUCACAUACAAGAAAACCCACAAAAAUCAAUCGAAGCCCAGGUAAUAUUUUUACCCCAUGAUUGUAAAGUUACCAUCUUUGUUGCUGUUAAAGUUAAAUUCUUGAAAUUCAUGUUACUUUUCUUGAUUCUUGAUAGAGAUUGCAUUAUUAAUUCAAGAAACAGUGUGGAUUGUUGUAUUUGGAUGUGAUUUUUGUUGGUUUUGUGUGUUUUGUGAAAAAGAUUGUAAGUUUGUUAGAAAUGUCAUCUAGUAUGGAACUUGUGCCAGUGACUUCACAAAAACAUGACCCAGCAUGGAAGCAUUGCCAGAUGUUUAAGAAUGGGGAUAGGGUUCAGCUUAAGUGUGUGUAUUGUACUAAAAUGUUUAAGGGUGGUGGGAUUCAUAGGAUUAAGGAACAUCUUGCGGGGCAUAAGGGUAAUGCCUCGACGUGCCUUAGAGUCCCGCCUGAUGUUCAGCAGAUUAUGGAAGAGAGUUUGAGAGGUGUUGUGGCGAAAAAGAGGAAGAAGCAGAAGCUUGCGGAGGUUAUUUCGGGGUUUGAUCCUUCUACUAGUGAGGUUGAUGGUUUGUCGGGUCAGUGUGAUUUGAGUGGUGCUGUGAGUUUGAUCCCGAAUGUGGAUGUGCUUGAUCCGAAUUCAGGUGUUUUAGAGGAUGGUCCGAGGAAGAGAGGUAGGAAGAAGAGGGGAGCGAAGAAAGGUGCUGCUAAUACAGGUUUGGAUGUCAUUCCGUUGGAUGUUGUGGGAGGUGGUUCGAAGAGGGUGAAUGAUCAGGUUCAUUUGGCGAUAGGAAGGUUUUUUUAUGAUGUUGGUGUGCCUUUAGAUGCAGUGAACUCCGUAUAUUUUCAACCGAUGCUUGAUGCGAUUGCUUCACAAGGAGCAGUGUCUGUUGCUCCGAAUUAUCAUGAUCUUAGAAGUGGGAUUCUGAAGAAUUCAGUUCAAGAAGUAAGAAAUGAUAUUAAUCUAUGCAUGAGUCAUUGGGGACAUAGUGGAUGCUCUGUUUUAGUUGAUGAGUAUGUUUCAGAAAAGGGUAAAACAUUGAUAAACUUUAUGGUGUAUUGUUCCGAGGGGACAAUAUUUUUGAGGUUUGUUGACGUGACUGACAUAAUGAAUUCAGAAGAUGCUCUCUUUGAAUUGCUCAAGGAGGUGGUUGAGGAAGUUGGAGUGAGAAAUGUCUUGCAAGUGAUUACUAAUACUGAAGAUCGUUAUGUUGUUACAGGAAAAAGGCUAAGUGAUACCUUUCCUACUGUUUUCUGGACUCCUUGUGCAGCUCGCUGCAUAGACCUGAUGCUUGAGGAUUUUGGAAAAGUCAAGUGGAUCAUUUCAAUACUUGAAAAAUCUAAAUAUAUAUCAAGAUUUAUCUACAAUCAUAGUGUAGUUUUAAAUAUGAUGCGGAGGUAUACAUAUGGAGUUGAUCUAGUUGAACUUGGGGUUAGUAGCUCUGCAACAGACUUUGCAACUCUGAAGAGACUAGUGAAUAUCAAGCCCAACUUGCAAUCCAUGGUAACGUCAGAGGAGUGGAUGGAAUGCCCAUAUUCAAAAAAAACCGAGGGAAUAACCAUGUUGGACUAUAUCAGUAAUCAGUCAUUUUGGUCAACAUGUUCAUUUGUCACCCGUCUUACAGAUCCAUUAUUGCGGCUUUUGAGAAUAGUAAGUAGUGAGAAGAGACCUGCAAUGGGGUAUGUUAAUGCUGGAAUAUAUCGAGCAAAAGAAAGCAUUAGAAAGGAAUUUGAGGAUAAGAAGGAAUAUGAAGUUUAUUGGAAUAUUAUAGAUGGCAGGUGGGAACAUCUUCAGCAUCAUCCACUUCAUGCUGCAGGUUUUUAUCUGAACCCCAAGUUCUUCUACGGUACUGAAGGAUCUAUACAUCGCCACAUUCCAUCCUCAGUGUUUGAUUGUGUAGAGAAGAUGUUUCCUGAUCCAAAAAUCCAAGAUAAAAUAAUGAAAGAAACAACAUCAUACCAUAAUGCUGCUGGAGAUUUUGGCCGGAAUAUGGCAAUGAGAGCUAGAGAAACAUUACUUCCUGGUAAUUGUAGUGUUCAGUGUUAUUUUGCUCUUAUCUAUAUUUUAUGCACUGACCUUGCUUUUUUAUUUUGUCACUACUCCCUCUCUCUGCUCCACAAGAGUGAUCACUUAGAGCUCAGAAGUUAAUCUACGAGAUCUUUAAAAUUCGGAAGUAAUAUGUUUUUUGCACAAUCACCACACAACUAUGGAGUAGGUUAGAAGUAUUGCAAGUUGCAAGAAGCAUUAGUCUAAAUCUUUGUAGGAAUCAUUAUGUACAUUCAUGUAUUAGGAUUUUUUAACUUAAAGGGUUGAAGAAAACGGUAUUAGGUACCUUUAAGGAAGAACAUCACACAAAAAAGGCCAAAGUUAUCUAGUGUUUGAAGGAAGCGGCAUCGUAUGCUGACCAGUUUGCCCGCGGAUAUGCUAUAUAGUACGAUCUGAGGUUGCUUGGCAUGAACAUCUUUUACUUCACAGCUCGGUCUAUUAAUAAGUACUUUGUAAGCAAGAAAUCACAUGAAUGGGAUUUUCCAUUUGACCAGCAAGCUCAUUGGUCUUUAUUUGUGAUUAUAUCAGUGUUUUAAAUAGUUACUUUUCUCCAGUAUAGUUCAAUUUGUGAUUUAUAAUAUUAUGUAGGUAGCGAGCUUUUUCUGGCUGUCUCGUAGGUUUUCUGUAUUUUUAGUCAUGCUUUUCAGAAACUUUUGGAUCUUACUUGCUUCCUUCAUGUGGCGACUGUUUUGAAGUUUUUUGUUAGAUCUUGACACAGAAGUCAUUUCUUCAUCAUCUGCUAAUUGUUAUAAGUUCUGUUUGCUUUAGCUGAGUGGUGGUCAACUUAUGGAGGUGCUUGUCCAAAUUUGUCGCGUUUGGCUCUCCGUGUCCUCAGUCAAACUUGCAGUUUGAUGAGUUGUAAGCCAAACAGACAUUACUUGGAACAGAUAGACAAAACAAAGAACUGCUUAGAGCAUCAGAGGCUUACUGACCUUGUAUUUGUGCAGUACAAUUUGCGGCUGAGGCAAAUGUAAGUAAAUGGAAGUUUGUAUAUGUUUUCAAAGGUUCACUUGUUUGUUAAAAGCCUAUGUAUAAUUACUUUACCUUGCAGGGCUGUGAAGAAUAGAGAACAUGAUGCUGCAGAUCCUAUUUCAUGUGAUAUCAUUAAUACAAGCGAGGAUUGGGUUACAGAGAAUGAAGUAGGUAUGGAGGACACUGGCAGCGCGGAUUGGAUGAAUGUUGUCCCGCCUUUAGGCCACAUGACACUCUUAGGAUCAGAAAUUGAGGAUAUAGAGGCCUUAGGUGCAGGUAAUCACCAUAGUUGCGUUUUAUAAAUCUAAAACUAUUCCAAAAUACAAUGAUCUUCUCUAACUUGAUAUAUCCUCAUGCAGCUGGAUUUGAUGAUUAUGAAGAGGUAUUUAAUGGAGUUAAAGAUAGUGAAGGCGAAAAUGGUGAAGACAGGGAAGAAGACAAUACAGUGUAGUCAAUAUAUUUGUUAUGUUCCGAUUGGCGGAAAAAUUUUAGAGGAUCUGUUUAAAGAGGUAGUUUAUCGUUAAAGGUCAAGCAGCUUAAACUAGUGAAGACUAGCUGUGAUAUUGCUCAAACUUCUUGUUACUUGCAAAUUAGUGUAGCAAGUUGAGAUUGAUGCACAAGUACAUUAAAGCAAGAUGAUUUCUUUUCAAAAUGAGAAGUGAAGCAUUAUAUUUGAACCAGCAUUAGUCAUCUGCUAAGUAUCACCCAAUAAUUUACUCUGAUUUUUUCAGUACUGUAUUGUUCUGUUGAAUAUGAAUGUGAGCAGAAAAAUGAUAAUAUAGUGUCAGGAACCUGUCUUAAUAUUUAUAAAGAAAACUAAACAUCAGCCCGUCUAGCUCAGUUGGUAGAGCGCAAGGCUCUUAACCUUGUGGUCGUGGGUUCGAGCCCCACGGUGGGCGACCAAUUUUUUCUUUUUUUUUGAUUUAGAGUAUGCACUUUGUCGCUGAGUAUCUUAUAGAAGAGCCUGUUGGUGUGUACGUUCAGGAUUUUGUUUUUGCAAAUCCAUCUACCUCCCCUAAAUCUGGGGUUCUCUAGGCCAAACUAUCUUUAGCAAAAUGGGCCUCGUUUCUUGUUUGGUUGCUCUAACAAAAUAAGCUGAGCGGACAUGCAUGCUCUCAAUGUAUCAAGUGACCGGUUCUUCUAAAACCUCGAGAUAUUAGGACGGCUUAGCAGGAUUUUAUUGCAUUCUAACCCAACGAAAUUUCUCUUUGGGAAUAUGAUCUCCUUUCAAAGCAAAAUAUAAGGGUAUUUAAUUAAUACAGCCUAUUAAUAAGAAUAGAGUUAGAUGCAAAACUUGACAAAUAGAUCCAAAGAUGAAUUAUAAACCAUAAUUAGAGAGGCCUAAUAUAACAGAUUAGUUUAAAAUAAUUGUAGUUUGGUCCAGGGACUACCUCUAGAAAAAGGGGCCAUGAGCUAACUAGCAUCCCUACCACAGCACACCGAAGAAGACAUGCAUUACCAAUACAACGAUAGAGAAAUCCAUCUCCAUCGUUUAACUCAAAAGUGAAAGACUGCUGCUCCACCAUCCAAUGACUCUGUUCUUUUCUCAUGCAUGCACUUUACUCGAAAUCCAAAUUUUCUAACUGCAGAAAGACGGAAAGCAAGAAUUUCUGAUAAUGAAAUUGUAGUUCACAGACAUAAAUCUAGAGCAUUGGAGCAGUAAAAGAACAGUAGUUCAAGAACUUACAACUGUAGUUAUCUGUAAGGACGGCCUGAGAUUCUACCUCGCUGAUGAGCAAACCAGAUUAAGCAGUUUCGGGGGUUUUGUUUUGUGAGGCCGACAACAGAGGGCCCUGUUGUUGACACUUGACAGCCCUCCUAUCCACCACCUACACUCGAUUUAAUAAGAAACAAACAAUCGUUAAGAACCAGUCCAUCUAAAACUUUAAAGUGUUAGAGGAAUGCCCCAAAUGGAUCUUAUACUAUAUUUCAACACUCCCCUCACUCAGGCGCCAGCCAAACCAGAGCUCUGAUACCAUAUUGAUAACCAGUCUAUCUAAAACUCAAGGUGUUAGAGAAAUGUCCCAAAUGGAUCUUAUGCUAUAUUUCAACAGUAUUCAUACAAAAUAAUAAAUCGGCAUGAGUCAUUCUCUCUACAUCUAUUAACUAUCAUUCUCUCUACAUCUAUUAACUAUUCCAGAUGAGUAAUGUUAGCCAUCACUGCCUUAUUUCUAGGACCCAACUUGUAAAUUACAGUACAUUAUCUAUCAAGAUACCAUAACUAAAAGUACUCAAAAUGGAACAAACCUUUUUGAGGUACAAAUUAGGAACGUUAACCGAAUUUCAGAAUACAAAUGUUUGCCAUAAAGCAGACCUAAAAGAGAUUUACUUUAGCUAAAGUGAGAAUGUCUCUUGGCUACAGCAAAACCUACUGACCCUUCAAGUGUAUAUAAAAGAGUGAACUGAGUCGAAAGCUAAUCAGAAAACAAAGACAAGAUCACAAGAUAGUAUUGGUAGAAAGCUAUUGAGGCAAACAAAUAAAAGGUUAAAACAAUGACAGGUCCUGGUUCUUCGUGUGGAGCAUGCAAGUUCCUAAGGCGAAAGUGUACAAGUGAAUGCGUUUUUGCUCCUUACUUCUCUUAUGAUCAGUCAGCUAACCACUUUGCAAAAGUUCACAGGGUGUUUGGAGCUAGCAAAGUUUCCAAGUUAUUGCUACACCUUCCGGUGCACAGAAGAAGUGAUGCAGCCGCCACCAUAGCUUAUGAAGCACUUGCUCGGAUGCAUGAUCCUGUAUAUGGUUGUGUCUCUCAUGUCUUCGCUCUACAACAGCAGGUUUUGUGUUGUCACUCGUCGUAAAAUGCCUAAUUUGUUAUUCUUGAAUUACAUUACCAAAUAAUGAAUUCUAAUUCACCUACACUGCAGGUAGCAUGCCUGCAACAUGAGAUCGACAUUCUUAAUAAUCAAAUGGCCAAUCAAGCAUUUCAAGCACGCAAUAAUGGAGCAUUUGGAGCAACUAAUAACCCAAGUGUUGGAUUCCAGUUUGAUUCACAGAACAACGAGAACAUGACUAAUUGUGCAACUCAAAGUCAGAUGCUUUUAAACGGAGGGGUCACAGCAGAUAACCAAGAAUUCCAUUGCCAGAUAAAUACCACUCUUCCUACUCUAUAUGGCUGUGAGGAACACAUGUACAAUGUUCCUUCUGAUAUAGACCUUCCUGAGUCAGUCUCUGGAGGGAUGAAUCAAGAGAUUUAUGUGCCAUUUCUAUGGACGGGCAGCAGUUGCAGCAGCUAAAGCUAAAGAAUAAAAUGUAAAGUUUAGCGGUGAAGGUUACAAGCAAAAAACCACAUAAGCAGCAAAACCUUGAAUCCCUGCAUAUGAAAACAAGCCUCAUGAUCAUCGAUACUUGCAGGCUAAGAAUUAAGAUUCAUGAACAAUGUACUUUUCAUCCAACACCAUCAAUGUAACACCCCAACCCCCCACCACCAAAAAAAAAAAAAACAGUACACGCGCAGCUAAGUAAAUCUUGUUCUAUUAAGUCUCUUAAGCCUCAAAACUAAAGGCGAAAAUUUGUUCUGAUUUAUUUGACUUCAACAAUGAACAACUAAAAUUGAUUCAACCAUAAACAAUGAAUCAGAUAGAUACUCAUUGUCAGGGACGGAACCAGUAAUUUGGGUUGGAGUGGGCUUGACAAGUGAAUAACGAAGAAAAAUCUACUUUCAUUCAUGCUAGGAAUGAAAAAAAAAAUGAGAACUGCACCCAUUGAAUCUACUUGAUUAUAUUGAUUUUGGACUUAGUUGAUAGUGGGCUUGGACUUACUUGAUUAUAUAUAACUACUAAACUUUUUUUAGAAAAACUUCCUUGGGCUUAAGCCCAGGGAAGCCCUUCUGUACAUCCGUCUCUGCUCAUUGUUCCUCCCAAAUUCAGACGACAUUUGCAACAAACUAUAACAAGAUCCAUAAUAUCCAAAAUGGCAAGCAUGAUGUCCAUCUUGACAUGUCAAAAGUUAUUCUCAAAAAUUCGUUAAUAGCCUGGUGAAAGGUCAUGGGUAAUUCCGAACUUCCGAUCAUGGAUUUCAUACAGAUCGCCAUUAAAAAAUAUUGCAUGACAAACAGAAACGAUUGAAAAGGUUAGCAUUUGAUUUAUUAACCAAUACAGUGCUAUAGGUUCAUCUUCCAACGUCGUGUUCCUCUCCACAGGCCAAUUGAUCUUUUUAAAAUGAUGAAAGAAAUUGUAAAUUUUUCAAGCUGCAUCCGUCUGUAAAAUACCAUCUUCUUUCCAAAGAAUACGUAUGGUGCAUACAGUCACAGUUGUUCUAGUAGUUCUGUUUGAAAUUAUCCGGCAAGCUUCCUUCUUGCACCAUCUUACAUAAUAUGUUACAUUAACUUAUCAAUAUUUACAACAAAAAUCAAGACUAAGAUAUUCAAAUACAAGGAGUAUUGAAAUAAGAGUUAUUUGCAAAUUACACCCCUGCACUUGAGCCCAAACACACUCUAGUAUACAUACUUUUAAAAAUUGCAUUUCGCAUCCUCUUACUAGUGCAAUUUGCAAUUAACUCUUAAAAUAGCCAGGGGAUGCGAAAUAGUAACGGACCCAAGUGUAGGAGUGCAAUUUGCAAUCUAACUCUUCAAAAAAAAAUGUGCGCCCAGACUUGAAAAAAGUCAUAAUAUUUAAUAUUUUUAAUUUUUAAAAAAUUAACAAAAGAGGCAUUUAAAUUGAGACACGUGGAGCGAGAAACAUACAUUAAAGAUCAUCGAUGUGGUUUGAAAGGAUGCCGCGACGGUAUUCCAGCAAGGAUGAUACUAACAAUGUUUUGAACUGCUAGAUGAUUCACGUCUCAACUAGAUCUACACCCUUAUGUGUGGCGGUGCACAAACGUAGUAAUCCGUUUGGAUAAACUUAAAAGAAGUGACUUCUUGGUUA